ACACACACAAAAAGAAGGAAAAUUAGUAUAUAUCAUACCUCUGUAUCCUUCCAAACUUGUUUAAGUUUACUGUUGCGCAUGUCGAGAACAACUAGUUCAUUGAUAUCAAAAUCCACCGGAAAAGAUUGCAUCCAAAACCCAUGCCAACGUAACCAUCUUAAUCUUUUGGGAAAGUCUUUGAAGUCUCCUUUAAGUCUUACAUAAUCCAGUUGAAGCAGUUUAAGUCUCUUUAUCUUUGCAAAUGCUUGAGUUUCCAUAUCAACAUCAUUUGCCAUGAGAAACUGACUUUUGGAAUGCUUUGGAAAAUGUAGAGUUGCAUUUGUCCUUUUAGCCUUGUCUUCUAGCAAUCCUUUUAGGUCAAGUGUGAGGCACUUAACUGUUCUGGAACCCUGCAUCAGAAAAACUUUUUUAAAAAAUAAAAAGAAAUUUGAUAAUAAAAAAAAAGGUAGUGAAGACGAUGGGAUAAGGCUAAUGUUGAUAUGGGAUGUGAAAAGGCAGGUAAGAGCAGUAGACUAUGAAAAGUCAUAAUAUAUAUUAUAAACAUUUCUUACGUUACAUUUCAACCACCUCUUUAAUUCCACCAGAAUCCGGUACUACUCGCUCUUGAGUGCUAACACUCUCCUCGUUACUGCCCUCCAACUUUUUCCUCCACAAUAUUUUAAGAAAAACUCAAUUCAAAUAAUAUUUUUAUAUUUAAAGUUUAUGAUUAUUUCUCUUAAUAAUGUUGUCUUUAAAAUUCAGAUAUCUAUUUCUCUUGAAAAUACAAUACCUUAAUUAUUCAAAUAAUAGUCUUAACAGAAAGAUUAAGCACCAAAUAUUCUAUAAAUACUAACAAGCUAAUGGUCUAAAGUCUAGAUUGAGUAGCACUAUUAUCCAAAUUCCAAAACAUAGUGCAACAAAUCAAUUCUUUCCCGGCGACCAAAUGACGUUUAUUAUAUAUAUAGAACUCUACAACCUAGUGCUACUAAUUAUCAAUUUUAUUGUUGUGACUCCAUAACUAAAAUUUAGUUGAUCCCUUGACUCAAGAGUGUAAUUAUUCGAAUAGGGAUUAUAUCUCUUUUACAGUGGUACACUAAUUCGUCUUAUUAUAUGGGUUCACUACACCAAAAUAGGCUUUUAGCGGCGCUUUUUUAGGCCUUUAGCGGCGCUUUUUAGCGCCGCAAAUACUUUUAGCGGCGCUUUGAUAAGCGCCGCAAAAGAUGCCGCUAAAGGUGUUGGUCUAUAGCGGCGCUUCUAUCACAAACGCCGUUGAAGACUAAGAGCUUUAGCAGCGUUUUUAAUAUAACCGCCGCUAUAGAUUGGUGUAUUUAGCGGCGUUUUUGUUGAAAGCGCCGCUAUAGAUUAGGGUCUUUAGCGGCGUUUUUUAUAUAAGAGCCGCUAUAGAUCAUGGCCUUUAGCGGCGCUUUUCCCCAAAACGCCGCAAUAGACCCUGAUCUAUAGCGGCGCUUAUCCAGAAAACGCCGCAAUAGACCCUAAUCUAUAGCGGCGCUUAUCCAAAAAAUGCCGCUAAAUACCCUUUGUCUAUAUAGCGGCACUUCGCGCAAAAACGCCGCUAAAGACCCUAAUCUAUAGCGGCGCUUUUACCAAAAACGCCGCUAAAUUUGGCAGAUUUGUAAAUUUUUUUUAUAUUUUCUGCCCUCCUGUAAAAAACAAAUCAAAAGAAAUCAUAUCUAAACCAGCCAAAAGUAACAAAUCUAUGGAUUAAAAAAAAUAAUAUAAUAAAUAUCAAUAAAUAUAAACAAAUUCGUAUUAUUCUUACAAAAAUGUUAAAAGUUAAAAUGAUAAUUGAAAGUCAAAAUUGAAGUAUAUUUACACGAUAGUCUAAGACGACGGCUGUUGCGACUGCUGAAACAUCUUCAUCAUACUCUGGAGCUGCUGCUGGAGUUCAUCGAACUUUUGACGCUGCUCUGCUUCCCUCGCUGCAGCCUCUGCUUCCCUCGCUUUAGCCUCUGCUUCCCUUGCUGUAGCUUGUUCUUCUCUCGCUGCCGCCUCUGCUUCUCUUGCUGCCGCAUCUGCUCUAAGCUGCUGCUGGAGUUCUUCAUACUUUCGUUGAACCUCAGCUUCUCUCGCUGCUGCAUCUGCUUUAAGUUGUAGCUGGAGUUCUUCAUAUCUUUUUUGAACAUCAGCUUCUCUCGAUGUUGCCUCCGCUUUAAGUUGUGUAAUUUGCUCAGUUGUUGUCGCUUGCAUCAGAGCAAUCUGGUCUCUUAACCUCUGAACUUCAGCUUCAGCUCGACUCCCCGAAGGCAUAUACUGUUGCGAGCUAGAUCCAAAAUAUUGGGACGGGUUAACAAAAGAUCCUUGGAAUCGAACCCGACCAUACCUUUCAGGACCCAAAACUUCAGUGAUAAUCCAGUUAUCAAUGUCGUCAAUAUGAACAGAACUAUCACUGGAUGCAAUCGCGUCGUACUCUGCCUUUUUAUUCUUUAAUUUUUCCUAAAAAAUAAAUCACACAUAGAUAGGAACGCAAUAUAUAUUAAAAAUAAGAAUGCAACAUAACUUAACAAUAUUUGCAUUAUAAUAAAUGAAAUAAAUCAUUAGAAAGUAAACACUAUAUAAAUAAUUAAAACAAGUGAAAUUGUAUUAAGCAAACGUACCAUAAUUUCUGCAGCUUCAGGAGUCAUAGGGUUUCCAUCUUUCUUCCUAUGUGUAAUGUCAAAAAGUUGAAGUCGUCCAACUUUUUGACCGGACGACAGUUCCUACAAUACAAUAGUAAAAAUAUUAAUUAAUAGAAAGUAAUAAAUAUCUGCCAAUAUUAAAAGCAUUUCAAAAUACCUCUGCAUGAGCUACACACGCAAAACUUUUUGACCCAGCUGUGUGAGUGAAUUUUUAUUGCUGCCUACUCUGUUUUCCAACUUGUUCACGAUCCUACAUUAUGAAAUUAUUAGUACGUUAAUUAGGAAAUACUAUACACCAAAAUAAUUACAAAAUUUUAUAAGUUACACAUACCUCUCCUUUCUUCGAAGUCCAAAAUCUAACGACCUCUUCCCAGUGGCACCUCAGCAUUCCCGGCGGGACAUUUUGUAAUCUCUCGUCGAGUGUUGUUUUUGUUUUAAAAUAUUCUUUCUUUAAAGUGCUCUUAUGGUCUCUCCAUCUUUUUCCCAAUGCCUUCUUUACAUAAGCAUCGGAGACUUCUAGAGCAAAUCUCGCCUACAAAAAAGACAACUUAAGAAAGUAAAUGUAAACGAAACUUAAACCCAAGUAUUAUAAAUGACAUACACGUUUUGUUACCUUAAUGUUAUCGAGACCUUGGUUCUUGUUACUCUCGGGCACUUUAUGCCAUGACUCGAAGUUAAUUGGCAACAUAUUUGCAUUCCGUGCUAGAAUGCCCAUGUAUCCUGCUAAAAGGCGGGCUUCUGAUCCAACAGGCUGACCAAAGCUAUUACUGGAUACUUGGACACGCUCGACUGGAUCUAGGUCAUAUAAAUUGCUCAGUACUGUACGUCCGCGAACUCUCCGCGUCUCACCAGUUUCAUCUGAAAAAUAAAAGUAUUGUAAUAUACGAAAUUUAAAAAAAAAUAAACAAGAAGUCAGCACACAUGAAAAUUAAAUGUUAAAUUACUUUGAACUUCUAUAUGUUCCUCAGGUGUAACCGGAACAUUCGAAGAUCCAAUUGCAGUCUGUUGUUCAGUGCUGUUUGUUUCCGCCGAGUUUGGAGUACCUUGAACAAUGCGGUGCGAUCGCACUUUUCUUCUAGGCAUUUUAUCUGCAAUACAAAUAAAUUAGUUGAAAACUUAGUAUACAAUUACAACAAUAACAUCAUUCGUAAAUAUAAUUAGAUAAUUGUAAAAGCUGACUACAUUAUAAUUCGUAAAUAUCUUCAUCCGUAUCCUGGCGGACCCAUUGAAAUUGUGUACUAGUACUAGGGAUGUUUUCGUUUAAGUUCUGUUCUGAAAAUGGUAAAGUUUGUGUUCUGUUGUCAAUGUCAUCUCUACUUCCACUGCCCAUGUCAAACAAGUCUCUAGGGAUGUUACGGAGUACAACGUACCAACCCUCAUCAGUUGGAUCUUUUGAGUAAAAAACUUGUUUGACUUGAGAAGGAAAUACAUACGGCUCAUCAAUCAAUUGUUGUCCUGUGUGAAUCAAUCGAGCGAAGUUUACCAUUGUGAAACUAAAUUGAUCUUGCUUGAUUCCACGUGCAGUAUUAACAUCGGCCCAAUCACCUCGAAAUAAGACAACUUUCCAUUUGCCGUAGUAAUCCAACUCAAUUAUGUCAGUAAGAAGUCCAAAAUAUUCCACAUUUCCCUCCACAGGAUUAUUGUCCCUAGCACUAGCAUAACUUGUAAUUGAGGAAUUAACAACUAUUCCAUAAUUUUGCGUUCUCCUCAAUCUCUCGCGAUAUUUUGUAUGAAAUCUGAAUCCAUUUAUGAGGAAUGCACUAUAUCUUUUAACCACCCGAUUUGGACCUUGGGAAAGCCAUUUAACUUCGUCGGUGACGUUCUUCCCACUCCAAACCUAUUGAAUGGAAAGUAAACUGAGUAAUUAAAAAUGUUUUGAACAAAUAUUAUUAUUUGUCGGUGAAAGCUCCAAUUACAUACUGUUUGACUUAACCAUUCAUGAAAAGAUUCUGUAAACAACUUAUUGAUAUCUCGAUGUUGUGUUCUUCGGGAGCGCGAACGAGAUCUCAAUAUUUGUUUGUACUCACUAUGUUACAAAUAUGUUAAGUUUGUUAGACUAUAAACAAUUUUGAAAUGAUAAAUAUUUAUCAAAUUUCUAGAACUUACUUGCGUAAAGGUUCCAUUGAUUCGUGGUGAAACAGAACAUAUCGAUGUGCUUGUACCCACGAUAAAUCAUCUAGUUCUGCAAUUUCAACUUUACCGAUUAGUUCUCCAAAACUUUGGAACAAAUAACUGUCGGUAAAGUUACGAUCCGUGAGUCCAGCAUAUCUAUUUGGUCUGUUCAACCUUGUUUCAACAUCUUCCAAAUAUCUUGAACAGAAGGUCAUACAUUCCUCUGCCAAGUAGCCUUCAGCAAUCGAUCCUUCUGGAUAACGCUUGUUGCGGCAAUAAGACUUUAAUUUUGAUAGGAACCUAAACACAAUAUACAACAUUGUCAAAAGUUGUAACUAAAGGCACAUGGGUGAAUGAAGGAAAAUUUACAAAAUUGUAAUUAACACCUUUCUAUGGGAUACAUCCAUCGAUAGAAAACGGGUCCGCCAAGAAUUGCUUCAUGCGGGAGAUGGAUUAUCAAGUGAACCAUAAUAGUGAAGAAGGAAGGUGGGAAGAUUUUCUCCAUGUUGCAUAGAGUUAAAGCGGCUCGAUCCUGUACCUUCUGAAGUUCUUGAACAUCCAAAACUUUGCCACAAAUGGCUUUCAUUAUAUUGGAUAGUUCAAUUAUACAAGACGUCACCUUCUUCGAAAUACAACAUCGUAGAGCAACUGGCAGUAAAUCUUGCAUCAAGAUGUGAUAGUCAUGUGACUUUAGCGAAUAUAGUCUUCGAUCUUUAACACUAACACAUCGAGAUAUAUUUGAUGCAUACGCAUCUGAAACCUUUAUAUCCUUCAACACCAUGCAGAACACUUCUUUCUCUGUCUUCGACAUUGAGAAAAUUGAAGGCGGAAACCGAUAUUUACCAUUCGGAAGUGGAUUCGAAUGAAGAUCAAGUCGAAUUCCCAUCUGAACUAAAUCAAGUCGACUCUGAAGAUUGUCUUUUGAUUUUCCGUCUACAUUCAAAAUUGUACAGACAAUGUUCUCGCAGACAUUUAUCUCAAUAUGCAUAACAUCAAGAUUGUGUCGUAAAAGGUGGUGCUCCCAAUAAGGUAACUAAAAAAAAUACUUCUUUUUUUCCACAAGUCCGCCUCAUUAGGAUCAUCCUCUUCAUCAGAGUUAUCAUCAGCUUCAUCAUUUGAUUUUCUAUUCCUUUGCGUGUUUGCCGGUUGAUUCAUCUUCCCAUAACUGAAAUUCAUAUCUUCCAAUAUUAACAAGAUUUCAGAUCCACUUGUCUGCGAAGGAGCUUCUCUAAACUCUUUAGUACCGUCAAAUGCCGAACUCUGAAAUCUAAAUCUAUGAUUUUCCGGUAACCACCGACGAUGCCCCAUGUAAGAGAACUUCUUCACAUUGUAUAACCAUUGCGAACAUGUUUGUGCAGCACAACAGGGGCACGCAUAACGACCCUUGGUACUCCAACCGGAUAAAUUGGCAUAAGUGGGGAAGUCAUUAAUGGUCCACAUCAAAGCUGCACGUAAAUUAAAGUUCUCCUUUCUGAGCACAUCAUAUGUCUCGACACCAGCCCAUAAUUGUUUUAACUCUUCAAUAAGUGGCUGUAAAUAAAUGUCGAUAUCAUUCCCGGGCCCUUUCUCUCCAGGGAUAAUCAUAGAUAAGAUAAGGGAAGAUUGCUUCAUGCAAAUCCACGGAGGCAGAUUGUAAGGAACAAGCACCACUGGCCAUGUACUGUAUGCAGUACUCAUGAUCUUGUAAGGAUUAAAUCCAUCAGAUGCUAGGCCAAGCCUGACACUCCUCGGAUCGCUUGAAAAGCUUGGAAAUUUAUUGUCAAAUGAUUUCCAAGCUAAAGAAUCUGCUGGAUGCCUUAAUAGUCCAUCAUCGGUUCGUCCUUCAUGGUGCCACGUCAUUGACUCCGCUAUCUUCGACGACAUGAAAAGCCUUUGAAGCCUUGGUAUCAGUGGAAAAUACCGCAAAAUCUUGACCGGCUUCUUUCUUGGCUGUGCAUCAUUUUCAUCGUCGUUCCCAUCUUCUGUGUUUCUAUUCAUCCAAUGGGAUUCGCCGCAUACAUGACAGCACUGUUGGUUUCUCCGAUCGCCCCAGUACAACAUGCAAUCAUUCGGGCAACUAUGGAUUUUGUUGUACCCAAGACCUAAGUCUUUUAUUAUUUUCUUCAUAUCUUUGCAUGACUGAGGGAUUUUUGCAAACGGAAACAUUUCUCUCAAAAACUCUAACAGCAUUGUCAAUGAGUUCCCGGUCCACCCUCCCAAACAUUUUAACUGGAAAAGACGAAUGCAGAACGACAUUUUUGAAAAUUUUGAUCCCUCAUAUAGUUCUUCGUUCAUCUCAUUAAGUAGCGCGUAGAACUUUGCCGCUUCUCCAUUCGGCUCUUCAUGAUGUUGGUUUCUUCCGGGUUCAGUAAAAGCAUUUCCACCGAGAUUACAAUCAUCAGAUGGCACAAAGUCGGGUGGGAACGACUGUAAACCAUGACUGUGAAUAUUAAAUGCUUCCCGCAACAUCCCUUCCAUGUCAUCCCCUCUAACAGACUGAUGGUAGGCAGUACUAUCAUAAGAUACAUCCAUCCUUGAAGAGGAAGUACUAGGCGGGCAUUCUCCAUGAAAAAACCAUUGUUUAUAACCACGAACAAACCCAUCAACAAUUAGAUGCUCGUAUACAACUUCACGAUAAUGCCAGUUUAUGUUGACACACUUCUUACACGGGCAAAGAAUCAUGUUCUCUUGGCUUGCAUAUUGAAAUGCAAAAUUUAGAAAAGUUUGUACUCCAUUUCGAUAACCGUCGCUUACCCUUGACAAAUUCAUCCAAGACCGGUCCAUUUUUUAUUUCUUGAAGCCUAAUCUUGACAAUAAAUUGCACGGGUUUAGGAUUUAGGAAUAAGUAUAGUUAAGCUAUGUAAGUUAUGUAUUAUGUAAGUUAGUUAUUACCCAAAUUAUGUAAGUUGUGUAUUAUGAAAAUUAUGCUAUGUAAGUUAUGUAAGUCACAUAAGUUAUGUAAGAAGUUAUUUAUGUAAGUUAUUUAUUAUGAAAAUUAAGUAAGUUAUGUAAUUUACGAAUAAUUAAAAAUAUGUAAGUUAUGUAAGUUGUAAGUUAUGUAUAAUAUUAAUUAACUAAGUUAUGUCAUUUAUGUAUCAUAUUAAUGUAAGUUAUGUAAUUUAUGUAUAUUAACUAAUUAAUUUAUGUAAGUUAUGUAUAAUAUUAAUGUAAGUUAUGUAUAAUAUUAAUUAAUUUAGUUAUGUCAUCUAUGUAUAAUAUUAAUGUAAGUUAUGUAUAAUAUUAAUUAAUUAAGUUAUGUCCCUUACAAUAAGAGACAAAUAUUGAUUUUAUAAUAUAAACAUUGGAUAAACAAUUUUGUUUAAAAAAAAGAUUGGAUAAACAGUAUUUUAUAAUAUAAUAUUAAUUUUAGAUACAAAUAUAAUAUUAAUUUUAGUUACAAAUAUUAUACAAAUAGUAUUUUAUAAGGUAAAUAAGCAUUUUGCAUGCAACUUGACUAAGAAAUUAGUAGCAAAUAGGGAAUUGAGUUUGUAUAAAAAACGUGGACCGUCUCUCUAUUAGGUAGCUGUCAAUGGCAUUUUAACUCCAACCAUCUCACAUUCUUACCGAAUUGAAUGUGUGUUUUAAAUUCUCAACCCAUCAAAAUAAAAAAUUAAAGAGAAAUUUUGAAUUGAACUUUAUAUACAAAAUAGAAUACAAUAUAUUACCUCAUUUUCUUUCUACCAUUUAAUCAAAUGAAAGUUAUUGUUAAUCUCUUCUUUUCCUUAUCUUUCCUCAUUUUAGAUAAUCUAAUAAAAGAAUAUAGUUUAAUCCAAACGUAAAAUUAAAAAUUAAACAUUAUUGGGAGGAACAGUAACAAACCUUAAAAUAAUUAAUUUUCAUGGAUAAUCAAAUAGACAUAAAAGCAUAAAUUGAUUUCAAAGAAGACGAAAUGUAAAUAUCCAACAGUAAAAAAUAACUUCAUAAUUAUUAAAUGUCAAUAUAGUCUACUUACAAAGAAAAAUAACUCAAGAUAAUUUAAGAUAUAACAUUAUUUCUUAAAAUUGAUCAUCCUAAUUGAGUUAUACUCUUCAAUUUUUUAUUAAACCGAAGCCAUCAAUAAGAGAAUUGGUUGAAAAUUGUUGAGCUGUAUCCUUAUCAAUUUUUUAUACUGGCUUUGGUAGUUUCGAUUAAGGGUUGUAUUUGCUCUCCCUCCUCCUUUUUACUUGCGAUCUAGUGUGUUUUUUUUACUGAGGUUGCUGGUAGUGGAUUUGGUUAUGAUGAUGUUCGGGUUGACUGGGGUUUUGGGUGUGAGGUUGACGGUAGGUGCAAGCUGAAGUAGUGAUCUGGACUCUUAUUUAGUGAAUAGUGUGAUGGUAGGGCUGGAGUAGAGGUUGGAGCAGUUGGCGCUGGUGAAGAUGGGAGAGGGAGUUGUCCUUGGCAGUGGUGGUUGGCAACUUUGACUUCAUCAACAGGCUCAAGGUCAUAUGGACCAAAUAUUGUAAAAUAUAUUUUCAGAAUUAUAUAAAUCUAACAUUAAUGGUCAAAGCCAAAAAAAUAUAUAUGUAUUUAGCAUAAAAAAUAAAAGGAUCAUACAUUACCCAAAUAGUGAAAAUGGAUCCAAAUUCAAUCAAAGUCCUCUAAUUAAUUUGUCCAAAUCAACAUUGAUUCAGAAUUUAGAAUUUUCUUUUCAUUUGAAAAAUUAAACUCAAUAAUUGGUAGACUUAAAUAAAAUUCGGUGUCUACACUACUCAAUAAUUAUCAGCUAACAAAGUGAUGAAUUCAACUAUAGUAAAUUUGGUUAACAUCAGUUUUGGAUUUCAUUCAUGGACUCAUUAAGUUAAUAAUAAUCAUAAUAAUUAAAGUAAGAAAGUGAUGAACAUUUGCUUUAACUAAUAAAUUUAGCAAAUUAAAUAUACAUACCUCUUAAAGUUCACAAGGAAGUAAAGGCUGCAAGGAAGUAGAGGCUGCAAGUUCCUGGGAUUGCUUCACGAUUGAAUUUCCAGCAGUUUAUCAAUUGAUCAAAAAGUCUACUUUCUGCUGCAGUUGACUAAGAAAACAUUAUACAGGGUCAUCUAUACAGAGAUGAGCCAAGCAACAAUAAGGUAAAUAACAUAUAUAAAGAGAAAGCAGCAGUUUAAAAUAUACAAUAUGCAUAUAAUUUUUUACGACAAAACAUGCAGACAUAAAUUUUAAAUUUCAAAAUAUAUAUAUUCAUACCUAACACUAAUCUCAUUUAACUCGAAUUCAUACCCAACACUCAUCUCAUUUAACUCGAAUAACAUAGAUGGCAAAUACGUCAGUAAGACUAACCAAAACCAAAACAUGUAAAUGGAUAGUGAAAGUGAAUCUAUUGAGCUCUCCCCUAAGCCAAUGUUACAAAAAUGAAUUGCCAUUGGUCCAAACCCAAAAUGCACAAAAAAAUACGGGAAAGGGGAAGUCCAUCGAUACCAGAAAAUAAUGUUGUUCGGCUAUCAGAAAGGGAUUGAGCAAUUGGGAAAUUGGGGAAAAUACUUUGGGGAAGAAUAACUUGGGGGAAAUUGGGGGAAAAGAAGUUGGGAAAUUGGGGAAAUGAAAUCGUGGAAAUUUGACUUGGGGGAACACUAAAGGAAAUUCCCAAAUUCCCAAACCCUUGACACGCAAAAACGCCGAAAUUCCCCGAAUUCCCAAACAAACAGACCAAAGGUUGGUGAUUGAAUUUAUUAUUUAAACCCCAGUUUCCCAAAUUACACUUAACCCAAACCCUAAAUCAAGAUACAGCGAUUUAAAAGACAAAAAACUUACCUUUUUCACCACAAAUUCUGCAACUUUGAUGGCAUCCUGUCAAGAUUGGCUCAACUGUUGCUUCGUUUCACCCGAUUUAUGAGUUCUCCUCUCCCUUUUUUCCUUUGUAUUUUCUCUUUCGAUAUUAUAGCUUUCGUUUUCUCCUCUCUGAUUCUGUUUCUGUUUGUGUUCUGCCUUACAGAAAAUGAUAAGUAAAAACACGCGGAACAGAAACGGCAUCGUUUUCCCAAAAUUUUAAAACACCAUUCUGGCGUUUGUUAGGAAAACGCCACUAUUUCUUGUAUAUUUCCGGCGUUUCCAAAAAAUGCCACUACAAAUUGAAGUUAUAAUCUGAAACGGCGCCGUUUAAUAAAGCUUUAAUGCAUAUUUCAAACUAUUUUUUAACUUAUUAAACUUAAUUCUAUUUAAAAUAAUAUUUAAAUGACAAAAACAUUAAUAUAAUUGAUAUCAAUUGGUACUUUAAUUUGAUUUUUUAAAACAUUAUUUAAAGAAAUUAAUCUAAACUAACCUAAUUAAAAUCCUUAUCCGACCCCUGAAACCCUAAAUCAUAAAUUCUAAACCACUAACCCUUAGCCCGUAACUCGUAAAACUUAAACCCCUAACCCUAUAUCCCAAACCUUAAAUCCAUAUAUACCCCCUAAUCCUUAAAAUAGCACGGCCAUCAGAAAUAAUCCCUAAAUCUUUAAUAAUCAUAUAUAAAAUAGUUAUAAUUGAUUAAACAAUAAUUAAUAGUAAUAAAAACUUUUAAUAAUUUGUAAUAUUACCUUUAUAAUAUUUAUUUUUUUGUAUAAAGUUUGAAAUUUAUAAUAUUUAAUUUUAUUGAUAAAUAAAUAAAUUUAAACUAUAUACUCAUAAUUUCAAUAUAUUAAAUUUAUUAAAUAUUAUAUAUUUUAUAAAUAUAUAUAUAAGAACAUAUUUGAUAAAACUAAAUUAAUCUAAUAACUUAAACUCUAACAUAACCGUUGAAACCCUAAACCCGGCCCAAAUCCAUAACCCCCUAGCCCCUUACCCCUAAAUCCCCUAACCCCUAAAGCAUAACCCUUAAACCCUAAAUCCCCCUAACACCUAAACCUUAAAUUUUUCAAUUCCACAAACAAACGGUGACGUUUUCACAAAAUUGUAGACAUAUUGAUAAUUAUCGAUUAAUCGACAUGCAUAAAGUGAUCAUGAUCUACCUAUUAUAAUAUUCAAUAUAUUAAAUUUAUUCUUGAAUAUCUAUUUUACAAAUAUAUAAGAACGUAUAUAUUGAUCACCAUAAAAAAUAAUAAAAAACAAAUCUAAUUAAUUAAACCCUAACACAUGACCGUUGAAAUUAACCCUAAAUCUCAAACCCCAAAACCUCUAACCCUUAAAUUAACCUUAAAUCCCCAAUUACCUUAAAUCUAUACCCCGUACUCAUUAAAAUACCGUCCAUAAAAAAAUUCCCUAAAUCUUUAAUAUAUAUAUAUAUAAUCAUAAUUAAAUUAAAUAUAGUCAAUAAUUAUUGUUAAAAUAUAUAUAAAUUAGUCGAACAAUAUAUACGUACUACCAAAAUUAAUUUAUUACUCUUAUAAAAAGUUAAUUCUAUUUUUAAUUUACUCUUUACAUUAAUACAACAAUUUAAGUUUUACUAUAUUUUAUUUUAUUCAUAAUUUAAUAUAUUUUCUCUCGUAAAGUAGUUUAAAUCAACUGUUAUAAAUAGUUAGCUGUUACAUAUAUACGACUUCUCUUUAAUAAAAACUUUUUUUAUUAAUCAAUAUUAUUUGUUAAUUAUAAUUUAAAUGUAAAUUGUCCCACUAUAUAUAUAUAAUAAAUAGAACAAAAUAUUAAUUAUUUCAACUUAUAAGAUUUUUGUUACUAUUAGCGGCGCUUCGGCAAAAACGCCGCUAAAGGUUAAUACAUUCGCGGCGCUUAGAUACAAACGCCACUGAAUACAGGAGAAUUAGCGGCGCAUAUAUAAAAACACCGCUAAAAACCCGAGCAUUAGCGGCGCAUAGGCGAAAACGCCGCUAUAGACCCAGAGCAUUAGCGGCGCUUAGACGAAAACGCCGCUAAAGACUCGGAGCAUUACCGGCGCUUAGAUGAAAACGCCGCUAAAGACUCGGAGCAUUAGCGGUGCUUAGACGAAAGCGCCGCUAAAGACUCGGAGCAUUAGCGGCGCUUAGACGAAAACGCCGCUAUAGACCCGAGCAUUAGCGGCGCUUAGACAAAGACGCCGCUAUAGACCCGAGCAUUAGCGGCGCUUAGACAAAAACGCCGCUAUAGACCUGAGCAUUAGCGGCGCUUAGACAAAAACGCCGCUAAAUGUUUAAAAAAUUGCAAAAAACGACGCCGCUCGUCUUAGGUUUUUUGUGGCGCUUUAUAUAAAACGCCGUUAAUUCCUAUUUUUAGCGGCGCUUCCGUAUAAACGCCGCUGAUGCUCUACCUUUAGCGGCGCUUUGGCUAAAUCGCCGCUAAUGCUCUAUUUUUUGUGGCGCUUUUGUUCCAAACGCCGCAAAAAGUGCCUCUAAAAGCCUAUUCUGGUGUAGUGGUUUAUUUAUAAGAGUUCUCUUAAAUAUUUAUGUCAAAUCCAAAUUGUUGUGAAUUGGUAGCCAGGAUGGAAAUCAAUUCUUUUAACAUUUCAAGGAGUUUUGUCCAUAAGUGAAAGUCUUUGGUAAAAGUAUUAGAUAAUAAGUAAUUGAUAAAAAUUUUCAUUCUAAAGGCAACUAGCAAAGAGCUGUUUAAUAUUUUUCAACAUUCAUGAAGGGUUUUUAUUUACUUUUAUUGAACGAAAUAGAUUUUUUUUUCCUAAUAAAUGAACCACGAGAAGAAAAAUGUUUUCCAAGGAAUAUUCUUACCAUAUCUAUUUAAUAUGUAAUUCGCAACUUGUUCUUCAAAUGAAAACCAUAAUAAUUUCCCCAGAAUUUCUAUUUGAAAAUUUGGAAAUCUUUUAAAUCAACCGAAUUUUCUCACUCGAAUACUUUAUCAGCUUUAUAUAAAUUAUUCUUUGCAUCAAUAAAUAUUGUUCAUGACCUUGCACCCAUUUUCAUGCAGAAUUAUUUCUCCCAUGCAGGAAAUGGUCUCCAUGAAUUAUUGCCGUGAUAUCUAUUUUGAUGAUAUGACAUGGUUUCUUUUGAUCCAAAAAAGAUGAUGAAUGACAUGAAAUUGAACUAUGAUUUUAAAGAAGGGUCUUGAGUUUAUAUAAGAUUAUAUAGGCGGUAAUUCAAUUUCCCUUUCCUUGUUGGAAAAGGAAUUCCAUUUUGACUUUAAUUGUAAUUUUUAAGUUGUUGUUUUUUUAUUGUUAAUUAUUUAAAAAAUAAUCGCAUUUUAACUUGCAAACUUAAAUCUUAAACUAUUAUCUUUAUGUUUACUUUUUAAUGAUAAUUAACAAAAAUAUUUGGUUUUAAAAUUUUAAUACAAUCGAAACACAAUUCACACACAUGAAUGAUAAAAUUUGACGUGAUUAAAUAAAUAUUGAAUUUUUUAUAUUUUUAAUAAUAAAUAUAGGUAAAAUGGUAAUAAAUUGGGAUUUUAAUGUCAUUUAAAACGGGUCAACUAAAUUUUAGAUUAGAUAUUCAAUAUUAAUAAUUAAUAUAUAUUAAUUGAAUUAUAAAUGAGUUUAGAAAUUCAAAAUUGUAAAAAUUAAUAUAUAUAUAUAUAUAUUGAAUUAAAUGACUACCAUACAUAAUCUUAUUCAAAUAAUAAUAAUGAAAAAUAAAACUGAGUGUUUAAGACAAUUUCGUUGUAUUUGUUUGUUCUAUGAUCCAACUAUGGUAGGUAAGCGUGAUGUAGGUUCAUCGUACUCCCAUCCAGUGGCUUUAAUUUGCUCUAAUGGAAUCGAAAACGAAUCAAUCCUUUUAACUUCUUCUUUUUCUUCUUCUUCAUCAUCGGAAAUCGACUUUAUUUCCAAAAAAAGUUUUGGGUCGAUUUUGGAGUUCCAAUCAAUAUCAUCGAUAUACAUAUCUGCUGCAUUACUUGGUAACUUAUUUGUGCAAGGAAAAUGAUGAUAAUAUUCCCAGAAUCUCUGUUUGGCUUCCUGGAAAGCUUUUAAACCAGCUGAAUCAUCCCAUUCGAAUACUUUAUCGGUUUUGAACAAAUUAUUCUUUGAUUCAACAAAUCUUUUCCAUGGCAUUGCACCCACUUUUAUGCAGAAUUUUUUCUCCCAUGCAGGUAAUGGUUCCCAUGAAUUACUGUUAUCAUUUUGUUUGGGACGAGUAAAUUUCGAACUGUAGUACCUUUCUCGGCAAUUAUGAUAUCUUCUUUGAUAGUAUGACAUGAUUUCUUGUAAUCCAAACAAAUAAAUGAAUUGAAAUUGCUAAUGACAUGAAUUUACAGUGAGGAGACUUGUUGGGUUUAUAUAAUAUUAUUAGAGUCGCUGGUGACUCAAUCCUUUUCCUUGUUAGAAAAGGAAUUCCAAUUUCAGUUUAAUUAUGAUUUCUAUUUUUAAAAUAUUUGUAUAAUAAAAUUAUUAAAAAAUAACUAUAUCUGUAUUGAUAAUAUUUUCUUAUUAAAUGGGUUUUAUGAGUUAAAUAACAAUCAAACCAAGAUUGGGAGAUUGAACUGCAUCAGGUCUUGGGGGUGAUCCAUCUCUUCAACCACUAUCCACCAUCUACAUCCUUCCCCUAUAUAAACUCUGCAAAAUAUAUACAUAUAUAGAGAGAGAGAGGAACAAACAAAUUAUAACCAUAGCAAAAAAAUCAAAACUAAAAUAUAACCAUUUUUCUUAUAAGGUGAAAAGAAAUAAUGGGCUGAGUACUUGAAAGAACUAACGACCUAAGUUUAUAAAUUAUUAUUUAGUACAAUGAUUCGAAUCCAAUUGCUUUUAAGAAAAAUGAAUACUCGACCAAUAUAUUACAAUAUGAGUUGUUAUUAUGAUUUAAUGUAACAUUCAAUCAAUAAAAUAUAACCAAUUUCUGAACGCUACCUAACAAUAUUUUUUUUGCCAAAGGGAAAGCAGAAAAAUUAUAUAUUUUUUAUAUUUUUAUUUUUUCACCCUUUUAAUUUUCUUUUCAUUCUACCAACUAAAGUUUUAAUGAAAAACAUGGAACUUGACUAUGCAUAUAACGUACCUAUCUUGUAGAACCAUACCUCCUAUAUCCGCAAUUUCUUUUAAAGCAUUAAUUCCUCCAUCUUUGUACCAUGUUGGUUUUGGACUAGAUGUUUUGUUCAUGUUGAGUAAAUGCAUCUGCAUAACUCCCCGUCUGGUUCUUGACUUGACUCAACUCGGAUCCACAUCAUAGAAAAUUGGUAAAACAAUGUGUUUAGAAGAUUUCUUGUGCUCCAAUAUCAUUACAAGUUCGUUAAGACACCAUGUGGAUGCAGCAUAAUUCUUCGAGAAAAAACGAUAGAAAUUUUGGAGUGGUGUAGUAUUGCUUUUUCAAUUUCAUCUUUUAUGUUAUUCCCUCUCUCGAUUUCCUCAUCAUCUCUAAAUGUUUGAAUUCCUAAGUGCACCAAAGCUGUGUAAAGAUGAUCCGUGAAACUUUUGCGCGUAUCUUCACCUCUAAAACUCAAGAAUACAUGAUAAGUACCUCGCGAGAUAUCUGAUACCGCCAUUGAAGAAGAAAAUGAAGUCGUCCUGUAUUGUUAUGUGAAGAAAUCUAGGUAAACUAGAGAAAAUCAAUGAAGAAAUAUGUUUUCAAUCUGAAUUUAGUCUAUUACUUAGUCCAAUACAAAGCUAGACGUGUAUAUUUAUAGGUACAAUUAACUGCCUUCCUUAACAAAUUAGCUAACAACUCAGCUAACUCUAACUGCCUCUCUAACAGUCUUAUUAUCUUUAACACCUAUGUAGGAAUGAAGCAUUAAUAACCGGUUGAUUUCAGAAACAGAAUUGGUGGUUAAAUGGACUAAAUCACCAGUUUUUAUUUGACUUCUUGUUAUUAUUUAAAGAAAAUAAAUCUAAAAAAAUUAAAAUUAAAUAAAAUAAUAAAUAUUGACGUAUAUUGCACAUUAAAGUAAAUUUGAAAAAGAGAAAUGAGAGGGACAUAAGAGGGGGAGAAUAAUUCCCAAGUACUUGGUGUGGAAAAUAGAGGUUCUAGAAAACGUUUCGAUUACUUUCCAUUUUGGAGUCAUGCUUACGGUCUUAGUCUUUAGACCAUUGAGGUUGUUAAUAUUAUCUGAAUAGAGUUUAUUUGAAUAAAUUAUCAAAUUCAGACUUUAAAUAAUGAUUUAUAUCAAAUCAAAGCUGGCCCUAAAUUAGCAAAUUACGAGGGGCUUCAACAUAAUAAAUUCAUGGGCUAACCAAUUUCAGGGCAAUAGAAGUAGUGAAGACGAUGGGAUAAGGCUAAGAUUGACAUGCGAUGUGAAAAAGCAGGUAAGAGCAGUAGACUAUGAAAAGUCAUUAUAUAUUUUUCAACCACCUCUAUAAUUCCACCAGUGUCUGGUACUACUCGCUCGAGUGCUAACACUCUCCUCGUUACGGCCCUCCAACUUUUUCGUCCACAAUAUUUUAAGAAAAACAUAAUUCAAAUAAUAUUUUUUGGUAUCAUUCAUAUUUGUUUUAUAGUUUAUACUCAAGGUUUGUAAUUAUUUUUAAAAUUCGGACCUACAUUUCUCUUAAAAGUACAAUACCUUAAUUAUUCAAAUAAUAAUUUUAACAGAAAGGAUGAGCACCAAAUGGUGGAUAAAUACUAACUAUUAUCUUUAUGUUUACUUUUUGAUGAUAAUUAACAAAAUUAUUUGGUUUUAAAAUUUUAAUACAAUCAAUGAAACACAAUUCACAUACAUGAAUGAUGAAAUUUGAUGUGAUUAAAUAAAUAUUAAAUUUUGUUAUAUUUUUAAUAAUGGAUAUAAGUAAAAUGGUAAUAAACCGGCAUUUUAAUGUCAUUUAAAACGUGUCAAAUAAUUAUUAAAUUAGAUAUUCAAUAUUAAUAAUCAAUAUAUAUUAAUUGAGUUAGACAUUAUAAUUAGUCACGACUGUCGAAAUUCCAAAUUGUAAAAAUUAAUAUAUAUUGAAUUAAAUGUCUACCAUACAUAAUCUUAUUCAAAUAAUAAUAAUGAAAAAAAAAGAGAGUAUUUAAGACAAUUUCGUUGUAUUUGUUUGUUCUAUGAUCCAACUAUGUUAGGUAAGCGUGAUGGAGGCUCAUCAUACUCCCAUCCAGUGGCUUUAAUUUGCUCUAAGGGAAUCGAAAACGAAUCAAUUCUUUUAACUUCUUCUUCUUCCUCUUCAUCAUCAGAAAUCGACUUUAUUUCCAAAAAAAGUUUUGGGUCGAUUUUGGAGUUCCAAUCAAUAUCAUCUAUAUACAUAUCUGCUGCAUUACUUGUCAACUUAUUUGUGCAAGGAAAACGAUGAUAAUAUUCCCAGAAUCUCUGUUUGGCUUCUUGGAAAGCUUUUAAACCAGCUGAGUCAUCCCAUUCGAAUACUUUAUCGGUUUUGAACAAAUUAUUGUUUGAUUCAACAAAUCUUUUCCAUGGCAUUGCACCCACUUUUAUGCAGAAUUUUUUCUCCCAUGCAAGUGUUGACACCAUUUUUUGGAUGAAAAACGGGGUCGACUUGGGUUUUGAAAACGAAAACGGGAGUCGCCACCAAUCUUUUUUGAUGAGGUGUGAUUGAGUCACAUCGUAAAAGUGGUUGUUUUUAAUAAACAAUUUAAUUUUAUUAAAACAACGAGUUUGGUCCACGAAAUUCAGAAGAAUGGGUUCGGGAGUCAGUUACGUACGAGGAAGGAUUAGCACCCUCGUAACACCCAAAAAUUGGUACCUAGUUGAUUAGUUAAUGUCUUAAUAUCAAAAAUUGAAAACUUUGAAGAAAUUUAAAAAUACGAUCCUUAUAUUAAAAUGUUGAAAAUUUUUGGAAAAUGGGGGCAUAUUUCACGUUAAUCGAGGAAGAGAAUCAUAUUCAGUAAGUUAGGACACAAUGUCUCGAAUUCCUGAUGCUCGAAUGAAUGCUGGAAAUUUAAAAGGUAUUUAGCUAUCUCGGAUUUAAAAAAGGGAUCACGACCAGUAAGUUAGGACACUAUCUUUUUUAUUCCCGAGAUCAUUUAAAACUUGAGUUUGAAAAUAUUCACGUAUUUAGAUUUAUUGUGAAAAUCGAAACCCAGUAAGUUAGGGUACAACUUUCUCAAAUCUAAACACGAAAUUUUGCUUAUUUUAAAAAUCAUAAUUAAUGCAUCUAAUAAAAUUAAUCUAACAUGAAAUAGUAGAAAUGAAACUCGAUAUUAAUACACGUGUUUAUAUAUAUGUUACAUAUAGACAAAAGAGAUAUGAAUGUGUAUAUUAUAAAACAAUGUAAGUAUGUAUAUACAUGUGUAUGUAUAGGAAGAAUAUAUAUGUGAAAUAUAUAAAAAAAAUAAAAUAAGAUGAAAAUAUAAAAAAUAUAUUUCAAUAUAUAUAUAUAUAUGAGUAUGAACAUACAUAUUUGUGAGAGAAAAAAAGUAUAUAGAUAUACCUAUAUAUAUAUAAAAGAGUAUUCAUGUAUAUAUUAAAUAAGUUUAAAAUAUAUAUAUAUGUAUACGUAUAUAUAUAUGUAAGUAAUUAUAUAUUUAUAAUAUAAUAUGUCACAUAUAUCCAAAAUUUAUAUAAGUAAAUAUGAGUGGAAAUAUAAUGAUAAUAAUAAUAACAUUAAUGAUAUGAUGAUAGUAGUAAUAAGAUUAAAAUAAUUAAUUUAAUAAUAAAAAAGCUAAGAAAAAACAAAAGCAGUUUCAAAUUGAAAAUAAACUAAAUCUCAGGGGCGAAAUCAAAACUGAAAAACAAAGAAAUGGAUUAAAAUGUGACGCGCGCGAAAAGAAAUAGGACCAAACGGGGAAAUAAACCAAUCCCUGGACACGUGUCCACUUUCCAGCGCGUCAGUGAGCCAGGGACCCGAUUGAAGACGAAAUAAAAUUUUGGGGCCAAAUUAAAAAAUAAAUAACCAAGCAAAAGGGCUAAAUUAGAAAAAAUCAAUAAUGAGGAGGGACUAAGAGCACAAAUAGCCCCUUGAUCAGAAACGCGCGGAUCCCCUAGGCGGGUCGGGUCUACGCGCGGAUCCCCACUAAAACGGCGCCGUUUUGGAAUUUUGAAGGGCUGGGCAAAACGGUGCGUUUUGCCAGCCUAUAUAAAUCAAAAUUUUUUUUAAAAAAAUAAUUUUUAAUCAUUCUAAAAAAAAACUCUCUCUCUCUCUCUCAAAAACCUCUCCCCAGAAACCGACGAAAGGCUCCGGCGCACCUCCGCCGUAGACGGCAGCCGGAGGUGCAAAACGGAACCUUUCUUAGCCCUACUUGAAGCCCGUUCCCCUUAGAACCUGGAUUCAAAGCCGAAUCCUUUAAAAGUCGAGUCAAAAUCGAAAAGAAGAGAAGGAAUCCUUUAAAAGCCGAACCUCGAUGCCUCUUCUUAGGAAUAAACGCGUCCAACACUUUGCCAUGGAACUCAAAGAUUUUCCAUGGUCCCUUCCAAUGAAAACAAGAAGGAAGAUUAGAAACAUAAACUGAAAUCACCAUUUUCUCCAAGGAUUUAGCCUAGUAAUAGUUAACAGUAACUCCACGGAUCUGACUAAAAGCACAAGUUAAGUGAAUUACCAAGAAUAAUGUUCUUCAAUACUAUUCCAAAUUCAAUUUUGGAACUUCUGUUAUCAUAGCUUUCAACUGUUUGAAACUCUGAUGGCAUUAUUCAAUCGCACAUAACUAACAUUUUCUGUAGCAACUUCGUCAUGGUAGAGCUAUCAUCGACAAGCCUGAACAAAUCAUCUAUAGUAUACAAUAAAUCCUAGAAAACUACACACUUCUAUAUUAUUUCCCAGAGAUUCCCUAAUUCACAUUUAUCAGGAGUUCAUUUGAAAUAACUCAAAUAUUUUCUGCUGUUAAUAAAAGGUUUAGAAAACUUAUUUCUUGAAAUUAAAAUUCACAUUUAUUGAUCUUCACAAAUAAUUAUUUCUUUCGUAAUGUCUGUAACACUGUUUCUCCAAAACUAAUUGUGUUCAAUUUUUUUUCUUCACAUGAAUUGAGUAUCUUUAAUUAUCUAACAACAACUCUGAUAUGAUACAGCUAGAAACUUUUGUCUAUUAAAUAUAGAGUAAACUACACCUAUGGUCACUUUUGUUUACUUUAGGUUACAUUUUGGUCACUUAUGUUUAAAAUAUUACGUUUUAGUCACUUGCGUUAUCGUGUUGUAACAUUUUAAUCAUUGAGCCAUUAAUUGCCGUUAACGGUGUAACAGUAAGCUAACGUGGCACGUUAAAUCAUCAUUUUAAACAAAAAUUUUAGGUUAAAUCAUACAACCGAUCCCCAUAUUUUUUUUAUUUUGGGCAAUUUAAUUUUUUUCUUUUAUAUUCUUUAAACUUUACUCUCUCUUUUUCUCUUUAUUUUCCAUUAUCUUCUGUUUCUCCUUCUAUUUUCCUACCUUCUCCAUGUCUUUUAACAUAUUAAGAAGUCGAAUUGACAGUGAAGAAAGAAGUAGAAAGUCGAAAGCCAUCACUGCCUAUAAUCAAAACCCAUAAACCCGUACCAUGACUCUUUUUUUACGACCAAUUCAACUUCCUGAUAUGUUAAAAGAAAUGGAGAAAGAAGGAAAAUAGAGGGGGAAGCAGAAGAAAAUGGAAAAUAAAGAAAAAAAGAAAGUUAAAAGAACAUAAAAGAAAAAAAAUUAAAUUGCUCAAAAUGAAAAAAAAAAUAUGCGGACCAAUUUUAUAAUUUAACCUAAAAUUUUGUUUGAAAUUAUAAUUUAACGUGCCACGUCAGCUUACUGUUACAUUGUUAACAGCAAUUAAUGGCUCAAUGACUAAAAUGUCACAGCAUGAAAACGUAAGUGACUAAAACGUAACAUUUCAAACAUAAGUGACUAAAAUGUAAACUGAAGUAAACAAAAGUGACCAUGGAUAUAGUUUUCCCUUAAAUAUAUAAAGUGACCAUGCAAUUGAUAAUCAUAUACAAUAAUCAACAUUUGACUAAACUUUGCAACCUAUACAAGUCUUUUUCGGAUUUCGACGAAAUAUAAACAAAAAUCCCGAGAAGAUACUUAAAACAUUUACUCAUCCGUGGCAACUGACUGAAAAAAUUUGGGUUGUCGUCUAGCUCAUAAUCGUAUACAAGGUCAAUACCAAUUUCUAGCACCGAUAAAUCUGAAAGAACCCGAAGACUAACAUGAUCACCAGCUUCUAAUUCAUCACCCCUAAAGUUCCAACAAGUCGUCCAGUAUAAGGUAUUCUUAGUUUCAGGAAUUCCCAUGAAAUGUUUGGAGUAGGUCCACUUUGUACCUUUGGUCUCGUUCACAAUUUCAAGGCAUGGUAAAAAUCCAUAUGUUUUAUCAUUCUUGGCAGAAAAAAUGAUAAUCGAAUUUAAGAAGCAACUUAUCUUUCGACUAGAGUUUGGGGGCACUGAUAUUGAAACCUCAGUCUUGCCUGCUUGAUGGCCAAAGUAAUGACCAUCGUAAUCAAAUGGCAAUGGAUCAAAUGUUGUAAUUAUACCGUAAUCAUAUAAUACCUGUAGCAUUGGGUUAGAGAAUGAGUUAUUAAAAAGUAUAUAGUAUAUAAAUAAUUUUAAAUACUUGGAACUUGCAAAGGGAACUUGUGGGGAAGCAACCACUUUUGAUUCUUCUAUAUAACUGCAAAGUUGCACUUUAACAUUUCCAUAAGAUUCCAAACUGAGCAAGAAUUUAGUUAGGUCAAUCUUGAUAUUUCUUGUGGAAACUUCAUCUCCUAAAAUAUGUACAAUAAUGUGUUAUUUAUCAAUUUUAGUGAUCAUCAACAUAAUAUGCUUAUUACAAAAUAAUAGUAUUGACUUGAAUGGAGUGAUAAUUAAAACUUUUAUCAAAUACUCAUUUGACACGAAUUAAAAUCGUGACCCAUCCCCUAUACUCAAUAUUGUAUGAAAAAAAGAUAUCAAAGUAUUAAUGUUAUUAUCACUAAAAUGUAUUAUAAGACUUGUAAGAAAUAAUCAAUUAUACACAUUAUAUCUUUAUUUUUUAUUUUAUUUUUAUAUAAAAUAUAAACUUUAAAACCAUUAAAUAUGUUAAUCAAAACUCCACUGUUAUAAUUUUAUCCAUUAUUUUAGUUUCCACUUCUAUUAGUAAUAUUGGAUUAAUCAUUUAUCAAGCAAUUAACUUAUUUUAGUUAGACCCCAAUUGCAGCAUAACUUUAUAAUUAUCAUUUUAUUAUUAACCUAAAUUUCUCUCAUAAUCUAUUAAAUUGUCACAUUUCUUGAUAAUAUUUUUAUUGUAUUAGAAAGUCUUUUAGAGAAACAUUCAUCAUUUCUUGAACAUUUGUUAUUCACAUAUAAAAUGAAACAAUAAAAUAAAUAUAUAAUAGAAUGUAUUUACUAAAAUAUAAUUAUUUGAAGUCUACUCAUACCUGUAGAUAAGUGCGAAAAGUCAUAUUCAUAUCCAAUGUUGUGUUCUGAUUCAUAAGUAACGCCAAAUUUUCUUAUGCUGAGAUGCAUAGGCACUACCAUGCAACUCACAAGGUCACCACCUUCAAACUGACAGUCCGUUACUGGCCAGUGAAUCAACCACAACAUUGUGUUAUCGUUAGUCUGAGGAAUUCCAAUGAAACUUGAGCGAUAUCUCUGCAUGAUCCUUUUGGUCUCAUUGAAAAUGUGGACACCUGGUAGAAGCUCCAACAUUUGAUCACUAGCUAAAGAGAAAACAAUGCAUAAGCUGAACCGAUGGAUCUUUUCAUCUGGAUGAGAUGGUGUUGGCAAAAAAAAAGAGAUUCGAUGCUCGUUAGUGCGAUGCUUAAACCCAAUCGGAACUUCACUUCCUACAACAAAUGUGCUUGUUAUACCACAUUCUUGCAAGACCUGAUCCAAAAAGAACAAGUUAGAUGAUUAAGUAGUAUAAAAGAAAAAUUAGAUUUAAAAUUUAAGUUGGAGAACUAUUGGACCUGUGGGGUAGCUAGCAUUAUGCUGUCUGUUAGGUAGCUAUAAAGUUGCAGUCGAUUUCUGUUAAUGGAAUCCACGUUGAAUAAUCUUCUAAUCUCUUCUGCUCCAAAGUUUUCAAUUGGUUCCACCUUGAAUAGAUCUUCAACCUCAGUCAAUUUUUCACAUCCAAAAAUAUUAACACAUCGUGUGGAAGAAAAGAAGCGUGGAAGAAGUGAAGAAUUGACUCCAAAAAUAAAGUUGCACUCAAAAACAUCAAGCAAGACCGGAAGCUUUGGAAUCAUUUGGAGUUCAGUGCAAGAAGUCAAUAGAAGUUGAUCAAGUUCUGUAAGGUAUUUUAAGCUCUCGGGUAGGUAACGAAUUGGGUUUCUACUUAAAUUUAAAGAUUUCAAGGAUGCCAAGUUACAAAGAUCAUUGGGCAUGACAUCAUUAGAUAAUUUGCAACUUUCAAGGCUUAACUUUACCAAAGAGCCCGGUAGAGAUGCCCAAGAGAAACCCAAUCCUUUGCUUCUUUUCAGUAAGAGCCAAUGCAACCCCAAUCUUGAUUGAUAUAUGGCAGUUUCAUCUAAAUUAAGCACCUUCAAUAAUUCCAUAUUAUGCAACUCCCUAGGAACAUCAUCAAGUCUUGAACAACCAGAUAAGAUAAGCUCUUCAAUUGAUAUUAAUGAACCAAUUGUCCUUGGAAGUUUCCUAAGACUUGUGCAAUCUUUAAGGUUCAAGAAAGUAAGCAUCUUUAGCUCACCAAUGGAUUGAUCAACUUCCACCAAAUUUAUGCAGUCUUUAAGCAUCAACUUCUCAAGGCUAGGGAGUCCUGAAAAGCUUGGGGUUUUAAGAAGGCUAUGUGAAUGGUUGAGAUUAAGGAUCUUUAAAUUUGGGAGGCACUGCAAAAAAGGAAAAACCCUUCAUUUAUAUAUCAUUGUUUCUCACACACAAAAAGAAGGAAUAUUAGUAUAUAUCAUACCUCUGUAUCCUUCCAAACUUGUUUAAGUUUACUGUUGCGCAUGUCGAGAACAACUAGUUCAUUGAUAUCAAAAUCCACCGGAAAAGAUUGCAUACAAAACCCAUGCCAACGUAACCAUCUUAAUCUUUUGGGAAAGUCUUUGAAGUCUCCUUUAAGUCUCACAUAAUCCAGUUGAAGCUGUUUAAGUCUCUUCAUCUUUGCAAAUGCUUGAGUUUCCAUAUCAACAUCAUUUGCCAUGAGAAACUGACUUUUGGAAUGCUUUGGAAAAUGUAGAGUUGUAUUUGUCCUUUUAGCCUUGUCUUCUAGCAAUCCUUUUAGGUCAAGUGUGAGGCACUUAACUGUUCUGGAACCCUGCAUCAGAAAAACUUUUUUAAAAAAUAAAAAGAAAUUUGAUAAAAAAGAAAAAAAGUAGUUUACAUGCACACAAGAAAAAAGUUGAGUAAAAUGAUGUUUCGUACAAUUUUUUCUCUUACUACAUCAAAAGCGUUCUUAUGCCACAAUCUGCUCGCUUCCCAAUAUCACAAGAUUCUUGACGAAUAAUUUCUCGUCCCAUAUCUCUAAUCAUUUGAUGCAUCAUUAGCUUAUUUUUUUCAUUAAUGAUUGAGAGAGACAUGCCUACUAGAUUUUCAAUUCCAAUUAUUGUAUAGAAUCCUAAAUUCCAACCCAUAUUGUUUGAAAAUUUUUAGGAUCGUAUUUUUCAAAAAUUCUUCGAAGUUUUCAAUCUUCAACACUAAAGACAUUAAAUAAUCGACUAGGUACCAAUUUUGGGCAUAAUGAGGGUGCUAAUCCUUCCUCGUACGUAACCGACUCUCGAACCCAUCUUUCUGAAUUUCGUAGACCAAAGUCGUUGUUCUAAUAAAAUUAAAUUGUUUAUUAAAAACAACCACUUUUCAAGGUGACCUGAUCACACCUUAUCAAAAAAGAUUGGUGGCGACUCCCAUUUUCGUUUUAGUUUUUUAAAUCCAAGUCGACCCCGUUUUUACCAAAAAAAUGGUGUCAACAAUAUCUAUUUUAAAAUUUUAAUAUAAUUAAUGAAAAACAAUUCACAUAUAUGAAUCAUCAAAUUUGACGUGCUUAGAGAACCCCAUGCGAUGGCCUGAUGAUUAAGGUUGUUCAAAAUACAUUAAUGAUAAAAUUUAACGUGAUUAAAUAAAUAUCGAAUUUUGUUAUAUUUUUAAUAAUAAAUAUAGGUAAAAUGGUAAUAAAUUGGUAUUUUAAUGCCAUUAAAAACGUGUCAGAUAAAUAUUAGAUUAGAUAUCCAAUAUUAAUAAUCAAUAUAUAUUAAUUGAAUUAUACAUUUUAAUUAAGGAUGAGUGUCGAAAUUCAAAAUUGUAAAUAUUAAUAUAUACUGAAUUAAAUUACUACCAUACAUAAUCUUAUUCAAAUAAUAAUAAUGAAAAAAAAUGAGUGUUUCAGACAAUUUCGUUGUAUUUGUUUGUUCUAUGAUCCAACUAUAGUAGGUAAGCGUGGUGUAGGUUCAUCGUACUCCCAUCCAGUAGCUUUAAUUUGCUCUAAUGGAAUCGAAAACGAAUCAAUCCUUUUAACUUCUUCUUCCUCUUCAUCAUUGGAAAGUGACUUUAUUUCCAAAAAAAAAAGGUUUUGGAUCAAUUUGGAGUUCCAAUCAAUAUCAUUGAUAUAAAUAUCGGUUGCAUUACUUGGCAACUUAUUUGUGCAAGGAAAACGAUGAUAAUAUUCUCAGAAUCUCUAUUUGGCUUCCUGAAAAGCUUUUAAACUAUCUGAAUCAUUCCAUUCGAAUACUUUAUCGGUUUUGAACAAAUUAUUCUUUGAUUCAACAAAUCUUUUCCAUGGCAUUGCACCCACUUUUAUGCAAAAAAAUUUCUCCCAUGCCGAUAAUGGUUCCCAUGAAUUACUGUUAUCAUUCGAUUUGGGACAAGUACAUUUCUUUUUUUAGUAACUUUGUUGGCGAUUAUGAUAUCUUCUUUGAUAGUAUGACAUGAGUUCUUGUAAUCCAAACAAAUAAAGGAAUUGAAAUCGCUAAUGAUAUGGAGGGGACUUGUUGGGUUUAUAUAAGAUUAUUAGAGUUGGUGGUUACUCAAUCCUUUUUCAACAAUUCUAAUUUCAGUUUGAUUAUGAUUUCUAUUUUCUAAAUAUUUGUAUAAUAAAAUUAUUAAAAAAUAAUUAUAUCUGUAUUGAUAAUAUUUUCUUAUUAAAUGAGUUUUAUAAGUUAAAUAGCAAUCAAACGAAGACUGAGAGACUGAAUUGCAUUUGGUCUUGGGGGUGAUCCAUCGCUUGUGAUCCACCUCUCUUUCCUGGGAAUUGAACUUAGUGUGAUUUUUCAGUACAAUAAUUUUACUCUUUCACACGCUUCCGCGCAACAAUUGGUACCAGAGCCAAGUUCGUACUUGGAGAAUAUGACCGUUUACGGUACUAUUCACGUAUACGGCACUAUUUACGUAUAUGGUACUAUUUACAUAUAUGGCACUAUUCACGUAUACGGUACUGUUCACGUAUACAGUAGUUGGGAUUGAGGAGAAAAAUGGCAGCAGCAUCGUCAUCAGCAAGGACUACUGUGACAAAUGCAAAAUUUGAAGUAGAGAAAUUUGACGGUACCAAUAAUUUUGGUAUGUGGCAAUGUGAGAUCCUGGAUGUCUUAUGUCAGCAAGAGCUAGAUAUAGCCCUUGAAGAAAAACCUGACAAGAUGGAUGACAAGGAGUGGGCCAAGAUCAAUAGACAGGCGUGUGGUACAAUCCGCCUAUGUUUGGCCAAAGAGCAGAAGUACUCUGUCAUGAGAGAGACAUCAGCGAAGAAGUUAUGGGAUACACAGGAAGAAAAGUUUCUAACGAAAAGUCUUGAAAAUAGGCUUUAUAUGAAAAAGAAACUUUAUCGAUUCACGUAUGCACCUGGUAUGUCGAUGAAUGACCAUGUGAACUCAUUCAAUAAAAUUUUAGCAGACUUGCUAAAUUUGGAUGAGAAAUUUGAAGAUGAAGACAAGCAUUAUUGUUGUUGAAUUCCCUUCCUGAUGAAUAUGAUCAUCUUACCACCACAUUGCUUCAUGGGAAGGACACGAUCACAUUUGAUGCAGUCUGUAGUGCGUUGUAUAGAUCUGAGACUAGAAAGAAAGAUAAAAGAGAUCACAGAGAUACAACCGCAGAAGUCUUAACAGUAACAGGUCGUUCACACAACAGCAAAUCUGGUAGAAGGGGAAAGUCCAAAGGGAGACCCGCCAAAGAUGAAUGUGCCUUUUACCGUGAAAAAGGGCAUUGGAAAAAGAAUUGUCCUAAGCUACAAAAGGGCAAGGCUAUUUCUAAUGCAUAUGUAGCGGAGCAUGAUGAGGAGUCAGACUUUAGCUUGGUUGGCAUGGCAAUGGCAUGUCAAACGGAUGAGUGGAUUUUGGAUUCAGGAUGUACUUACCAUAUGUGUCCUAAUAAGGACUGGUUUUCUAGUUUUAAAGAGCUAGAAGGUGGAAUUGUUCUUAUGGGCAAUGAUAGUGCUUGUAAGACUAUGGGAGUGGGUACAGUCCAAUUGAAGAAUCACGAUGGCUCAAUCCAAGUCUUGACAGAUGUUCGCUACGUACCUAGCCUGAAGAAAAAUCUCAUCUCAUUAGGUGCCCUAGAAUCUAAAGGGCUCACAAUCACUUUGAGAGAUGGAUUACUAAAAGUAGUAGCUGGGAAACUGACGGUGAUGAAAGGCAUAAGAAGAAAUAACUUGUAUUUUUUAAAUGGAAGUACAGUUAUUGGAUCAACAUCAACAGUUUCUACAAAAGAUGUAGAUUCAGAGGCUACCAGAUUAUGGCAUAUGCGAUUGGGACAUGCUGGUGAAAAAGCUUUGCAGACAUUGGUGAAGCAAGGCUUAUUGAAAGGUGCAAAUUCUUGCAAAAUGGAAUUCUGUGAACAUUGUGUUCUGGGCAAGCAGAAGAGGGUAAAAUUUGGUCCAGUAAUUCACAAUACGAAAGGAAUUCUGGACUACGUUCACAGUGAUGUGUGGGGACCCACCAAAGUAGCUUCUUUGGGAGGUAUGCACUAUUUUGUUACUUUUGUUGAUGAUUAUUCAAGAAAAGUAUGGGUGUAUCUAAUGAAAAGAAAAAGUGAAGUUUUGGAUGCAUUUCUGAAAUGGAAGAAGAUGGUGGAGACUCAGACUGGUCGAAAGGUCAAACAACUUUGAUCAGAUAAUGGUACUGAGUACAAAAACGAUCCAUUUCUACAAGUAUGCCAAGAUGAGGGCAUUGUGUGACACUUCACUGUUCGGGAUACACCACAGCAAAAUGGGGUGGCAGAACGAAUGAAUCGAACUAUACUGGAGAAAGUUCGAUGUAUGUUGUCCAAUGCUGGAUUGGGCAAAGAAUUUUGGGCUGAGGCAGUUACAUAUGCGUGCCAUCUAAUUAACCGUUUGCCAUCAGCUGCAAUAAAUGGAAAAACUCCUAUGGAGAUGUGGACUGGUAAAUCUGCUACUGAUUAUGAUUCUUUGCAUGUAUUUGGUUCCACUGCAUAUUAUCAUGUAAAAGAAUCUAAGUUAGACCCAAGAGCAAAGAAAGCAUUAUUCUUGGGUAUAACUGAUGGAGUAAAAGGAUAUCGUCUCUGGUGUCCUGAUACAAGGAAGAUUGUUUUCAGUAGAGAUGUGACUUUUGAUGAAUCAACCAUGUUGAAGUACAAGGAUUCACAAAAGGAUGACAAAACCAGUAGUACUUUGCAGCAGGUGGAGCUUGAAAAGGUUAACGAUGAUCCAGCUAAUAUUGAAGGGACAAAUGAUGAAGAGGUUCCUACCCAAGAACCUCUACAGCAACAAGAUUCAAUUGCAUAUAGAAGGCCAAGAAGAGAGAUUCGUAAGCCUGCUCGCUUUGAUGAUAUAGUGGCCUAUGCACUUCUAAUUACAGAUGAUGAUGUUCCUUCUACUUACACAGAAGUAAUAAGUAACCCUGAUGGUGUAAAGUGGAAGCAAGCAAUGAAUGAAGAAAUGCAGUCUCUUCAUAAAAAUAAGACCUGGGAGUUGGUGACACUACCCAAGGGAAAGAAGGAAAUUGGAUGCAAAUGGGUAUAUGCAAAGAAGGAAGGAUUUCCUGAUAAAAAUGAAAUUCGAUACAAGGCUAGAUUAGUAGCAAAGGGUUACGCUCAGAAAGAAAGAAUAGACUACAAUGAAGUGUUUUCUCCAGUUGUGAAGCAUUCGUCUAUUCGGAUUUUGCUAGCCUUGGUUGCGCAAUAUGAUCUUGAACUAGUUCAGCUUGAUGUGAAGACCGCGUUUUUACACGGUGAUUUGGAAGAGGAAAUCUAUAUUACUCAGCCAGAUGGAUUCAAGGUUGCUGGAAAAGAAAAUUGGGUUUGCAAACUGACAAAGUCGCUUUAUGGAUUGAAGCAAUCUCCGAGGCAGUGGUACAAGCGAUUUGAUCAGUUCAUGAAAGGGCAAAGGUACACAAGAAGUAAAUUUGAUCAUUGCGUGUAUUUUCAGAAGCUACAAGAAGGAACUUUCAUAUACUUGCUUUUAUAUGUUGAUGAUAUGAUAAUAGCAUCUAAGAGCAAAGUUGAGAUUGAAAGAUUGAAGACUCAACUCAAUCUCGAGUUUGAGAUGAAAGAUCUAGGAGAAGCUAAAAAGAUUCUCGGCAUGGAAAUAUGGAGAGAUAGAGCUCAUGAUAGAGUUAGCUUGUCUCAGAAGCAGUAUUUGAAAAAGGUACUAUAGCAGUUUGGCAUGAACGAGCAGACAAAACCUGUAAGUACCCCAUUGGCUUCUCAUUUCAAGCUUUCUGCACAACUAUCUCCUUCGACGAAUACGGAACAAGAAUACAUGUUGCAAGUUCCGUAUUCUAAUGCAGUGGGUAGCUUGAUGUAUGCAAUGGUGUGUACAAGACCCGACAUUUCAUAGGCAGUUAGUAUAGUGAGCAGGUAUAUGCAUAAUCCUGGAAAAGGACAUUGGCAAGCUGUGAAAUGGAUUCUACGGUAUAUUCAGAAGAUCGUGGAUGUUGGAUUACUGUUCAAGCAGGAUAAUACACUUGGUAAAGGUGUUAUUGGGUACGUUGAUUCUGACUAUGCCGGUGAUUUGGACAAGCGAAGAUCAACCACCAGUUAUGUGUUUACACUUGCUGGAGGUCCAAUAAGUUGGAAGUCUACACUACAGUCUACAGUUGCAUUGUCAACCACAGAAGCCGAGUACAUGGCUGUAACAGAGGCUGUAAAGGAGGAUAUUUGGUUACAAGGUAUGGCUAAAACCUUGGGGUUGGUUCAGGAGCAUAUUAACGUGUAUUGUGAUAGUCAAAGUGCUAUUCAUUUAGCAAAGAAUCAAGUCUAUCAUGCACGUACAAAACAUAUCGACGUACGAUUCCAUUUUGUGCGGGAAAUUAUUGAAGAGGGGAAAAUUUGUCUUCAGAAGAUCAAGACUACAGAUAAUCUCGCAGAUAUGAUGACCAGGUGGUAACAGCAACCAAGUUCGAACAUUGUUUGAACUUGAUUAAUAUCCUGCAAGUUUAACAGUUGAAGAAGGCACUAUCAAGUAUUGUUGUCAAAGGCAGAAAGAAUUGUGUGAAGAUAAGAUUAUCCUAAUCAAAUCUUCAAGGUGGAGAUUAUUGAAACCCACCCACAUUGUUUGAAAAGUCAAAAAGGGUGGGCACCGAAAGUAGAAAGUAAGAUUGGUUGGCAAGUUGGGUUAAAAGUUGGCAUGGGAUAAUUGCAAUUUUGGUCCCUAAUUGUAUAGGGACAUUGCAAGUUGAUCCUUAAACCUCAACUAUAAAUAGGCCUAACCAUUUCUUAUUUUCUUUAUCCCAUACUUUCCAUUCUCUACUUAAGGCAAUUGUUCUCUCUCCCUAUUUGUAAACUUUCACUUGUAUUUUUGGAGUGAAAUAUAUUUGGUAGUGCCCGAGGACGUAGGCAAAAUUUGCUGAACCUCGUUAAAAUUCUAGUGUUCUUUAUUUUUUGUUCUGCAUAUUUUGCAAGUGUCAUUGUAGUAAUUUAUUGUGCUAUUAAAUUACGAUAGAGGGAUAUUCUGGCUAGGAAAGAUCUGGUAUGUAAGCGAUCCUCGUGAUCCACCUCUCUUUCCUGGGAAUUGAACUUAGUGUGAUUUUUCAGUACAAUAAUUUUACUCUUUCACACGCUUCCGUGUAACACAACCACUAUCCACCAUCUACAUCCUUCCCCUAUAUAAACUCUGCAAUAUAUAUAUAUAUAGAGAGAGAGACACACACACACACACACACAAAUUAUGGAAGGCAGGAAAGUUAGAUAUCAAAUACGGCUGGCAUGGUGGUUUCACAGCCGCUAUUUCAAAAUAACUAAAGAUCUCAUUAGCUGUGUGAACAAAUUUCAGAUGUUCUUCAAAAUCCAAAGCAGAAAAAUCACAUACAGAGGCUAAGAUCAGAUAACUGAUACUCAAGUUCAAAUUUAAGGGCUUCGAAUUUACCUCAUUUGAUCAGAGUCGUGGUGAGAUGCUCGCUUGGGGCAAAGAUCCGUACGAAGAGGAUAAGGGGAGGAAGGAUUUCUUAAAAAAAACAAAUGGUUAAAAUCUUCUUUAGUCCCUGUACUUUGUAAAUGUUGUGAAUUCAGUUCCUAUAUUUUAAUUCGAAUAAUUUCAGUCCCUUUACUUUUUGAAGUAGUAGUUACAUCCAUUAAAUUCAAUUACUAGUACUGCACUACACGUACGGUUGUAGACUUAGUCUAUAUGCCCCAAUUGGAUCAUUCUAAGUCUCUAUACUUUUUGGAUUUUAAAAUUUUAAUCUCGAUGUAAAUGAUAGUUAUUAAUCAAUUAAUUGGAUUUUUAGUGAGUAAUAUGCGAAAAUAAAAAAAAAUAACAUGACAUUACACAUAUAUAGGAUAAUAUGUUCAUCGCAUCAUAUUUUAAAAAUAGCAUAACUUAAUAAAUUUAACAGGUAUCGUUUGGUAAGGAUUAAAAUUUAAAAAUUCUAAAAGUAUAAAAACUAAAAUUGACCAAAUUAAAGUAUAGAAUCUAAAUCCAUAAUUUUUAUAAAAUACAGGGACUAAUAACAUAAUUUAACCUUUUUGUCAAAAAUAAAUUAUAUAUAGUUUUAGAUAGAGAAGAGCCCAAAACUUCUUCUGUACUUUUGUAAUUAAAUUAAAUUAAUAUACAACUUAGAGUAAAAGACCUAAUUUUUUAAUCAUUUUUUUAUACAUGUAAUUUUAACUUUUUAUAUGUCAUCCAAGUGCAAAGGAAACUCCUUUUGAUGGAAGAAUCAACUUAAAAACCCUCUUCAUAUAAAAGCUGUUGGUUCAAAUUUAAAAAUCUCAUCCAAUUUUUGGAUUUGGAAAUUUCUUAUUUAAAAUAAUUCUUACCUGAAAAUUUUGUAUCUCAUCAAAACAUUUUCACUAAUGUAAUCAAUGCUCACAAAAAGUACCAUGUAUGCAUUACUUGAACAAAAAAACGAGAAGCAGUAAUUAUUCUUCUUUAACCUAGCCACCUUCAGAUUAGCUCCUCAAAUAGUUUCUCACAAUCUCUUUAUCUAUGCUUGAUCCUCCAAUGUUUGAUGAGUCUUUGCCAACUUAUCCUUUAGCCAUGAAAAUUCCAAACCGAUGACUCCGUAUCUUUCACCCUUACCAACAUAUCAUUGAUAUAAGUUAGCUCAAGCUUAUUCAGAUCGCUUUCUAAUUUCUGAUAAAUUUCAGCAACUGCAUUCAUAAUAUUGCUCUGAAACUCUCGAUUAUUCAAUUGAAAUUGGACAGCAAAGUGAGCAUGAUUUUGAAAUAUUUUAUUGAGCACAUCAGCAUUGUGUUGAUGAACCUCGUAUUUGUUGACGAUGACUGUUGUGUCAUCUAACAUCAAAAGUAAUUAAAGAUCAUGUCUCUACUAUUGGGAAUUAUCCAUAUUUAUGGAAAAUCAAAGAUAUGGGUAUCAAAUAAUAGAAAGUCAAAGAUAUGGGUAUCAAAUAUUGGAAAGUCAAAGAUAUGGGUAUCAAAUAUUGGAAAGUCAAAGAUAUGGGUAUCGAGAUAUUGGCAUAAUAAAAUCUGAGAUAUUUGCAAUAUAUGGUCCCUAAUUGUAAAGUGACUUUGCAAGUUGAUCCCUGAACCUCAACUAUAAAUAGGCAUAACCAUCUCUCAUUCUGUAUCUCAAACUUGCCAUUCUCUACUUAAGGCAUUGUUUUCUCUCUCUCUCUCUCUUUGUAAAUUCUCACUUGUAUUUUGGAGUGAAAUAUAUUUGGUAGUGCUCGAGGACGUAGGCAAAAUUUGCUGAACCUCGUUAAAUUCUUGUGUUCUUUAUUGUAUUAUUCUGCAUGAAUUGUGUGUGUGAUUGUAGUGAUUUAUUGUGCUAUUAAAUUACGAUUGAGGGAUAUUCUGGCUAGGAAAGACCUGGUACUUAAGCGAUCCUUGUGAUCCACCUCUCUUUCCUGGGAAUUGAACUUAGUGUGAUUUUUUAGUACAAUAAUUUUACUCUUUUACACGCUUCUGCACAACAAUUGGUAUCAGAGCUAGAUUCGUACCUGGGGAAUACGAUCGUUCACGGCACUAUUCACGUACUGUAGUUGGGAUUGAGGAGAAAAAAAUGGAAAAGUCAUCGUCAAAGACUACUGUGACCAAUGUAAAAUUUGAAGUAGAGAAAUUUGAUGGUACCAAUAAUUUUGGUAUGUGGCAAUGUGAGAUCCUGGAUGUCUUAUGUCAGCAAGAGCUGGAUAUAGCCCUUGAAGAAAAACCUGACAAGAUGGAUGACAAGGAGUGGGCCAAGAUCAAUAGACAGGCAUGUGGAACAAUUCGCCUAUGUUUGGCCAAAGAGCAGAAGUACUCUGUCAUGAGGGAGACAUCAGCGAAGAAGUUGUGGGAUACACUGGAAGAAAAGUUUCUAACAAAAAGUCUUGAAAAUAGGCUUUAUAUGAAAAAGAAACUUUAUUGAUUCACGUAUGCACCCGGUAUGUCGAUGAAUGACCAUGUGAACUCAUUCAAUAAAAUUUUAGCAGACUUGCUAAAUUUGGAUGAGAAAUUUGAAGAUGAAGACAAGGCAUUACUGUUGUUGAAUUCUCUUCCUGAUGAAUAUGAUCAUCUUACCACCACAUUGCUUCAUGGGAAGGAUACAAUCACAUUUGAUGCAGUCUGUAGUGCAUUGUAUAGAUCUGAGACUCGAAAGAAAGAUAAAAAAGAUCACAGAGAUACAACUACAGAAGUCUUAACAGUAAGAAGUCGUUCGCGCAGCAACAAAUCUGGUAGAAGGAGUAAGUCCAAAGGGAGACCUGCCAAAGAUGAAUGUGCCUUUUGUCGUGAGAAAGGGCAUUGGAAAAAGAAUUGUCCUAAGUUACAAAAAGGUAAAGCUAUUUCUGAUGCAUGUGUAGCGGAGCAUGAUGAGGAGUCAGACUUUAGCUUGGUUGGCAUGGCAAUGGCAUGUCAUACAGAUGAGUGGAUUUUGGAUUCGGGAUGUACUUACCAUAUGUGUCCUAAUAAGGACUGGUUUUCUAGUCUUAAAGAACUAGAAGGUGGAGUUGUUUUUAUGGGCAAUGAUAGCGCUUGUAAGACAAUGGGAGUAGGUACAAUCCAAUUGAAGAAUCACGACGGCUCAAUUCAAGUCUUGACAGAUGUUCGCUACAUACCUAGCUUGAAGAAAAAUCUUAUCUCAUUAGGGGUCAUAGAAUCUAAAGGGCUCACAAUCACUUUGAGAGAUGGAUUACUAAAGGUAGUAGCUGGGGUAUUGACGGUGAUGAAAGGUACAAGAAGGAAUAAUCUGUACUAUUUAAAUAGAAGUACAGUUAUUGGAUCAACAUCAACAGCUUUUACAAAAGAUGCAGAUUCAGAGGCUACCAGGUUAUGGCAUAUGCGAUUGGGACAUGCUGGUGAAAAAGCUUUGCAGAGUUUGGCGAAGCAAGGCUUGUUGAAAGGUGCAAAUUCUUGCAAAUUGGAAUUCUGUGAACAUUGUGUUCUGGGCAAGCAGACGAGGAUAAAAUUUUGUUCAGCAAUUCACAAUACAAAAGAAAUUCUGGACUACGUUCACAGUGAUGUGUGGGGACCUACUAAAGUGGCUUCUUUGGGAGGUAUGCACUAUUUUGUUACUUUUGUUGAUGAUUAUUCAAGAAAAGUAUGGGUGUAUCUAAUGAAAAGGAAAAAUGAAGUUUUGGAUGUAUUUCUGAAAUGGAAGAAGAUGGUGGAGACCCAGGCUGGUCGAAAAGUCAAACGACUUCGAUCAGACAAUGGUACUGAGUACAAGAAUGAUCCAUUUCUACAAGUAUGUCACGAUGAAGGUAUUGUACGACACUUCACUGUUCGAGAUACACCACAACAGAAUGGGGUGGCAGAACGUAUGAAUCGGACUAUACUGGAGAAAGUUCGAUGUAUGUUGUCCAAUGCUGGAUUGGGCAAAGAAUUUUGGGCUGAGGUAGUUACAUAUGCGUGCCAUCUAAUUAAUCGGUUGCCAUCAGCUGCAAUAAAUGGAAAAACUCCUAUGGAGAGGUGGGCUGGUAAACCUGCUGUUGAUUAUGAUUCUUUACAUAUUUUUGGUUCCACUGCAUAUUAUCAUGUAAAAGAAUCUAAGUUAGACCCAAGAGCAAAGAAAGCAUUAUUCAUGGGUAUAACUGGUGGAGUAAAAGGAUACCGUCUCUGGUGUCCUGAUACAAGGAAAAUAAUUUUCAGUAGAGAUGUGACUUUUGAUGAAUCAACCAUGAUGAAGAACAAUGAUUCACAAAAGGAUAACACAACCAGUGGCACUUUGCAGCAGGUGGAGCUUGAAAAGGUUAAUGAUGAUCCAGCUAAUAUUGAAGGAACAAAUGAUGAAGAAGUUUCGACCCAAGAACUUCUACAACAACAUGAUUCAAUUGCAUAUAGAAGGCCAAGAAGAGAGAUUCGUAUGCCUGCUCGCUUUGAUGAUAUGGUGGCCUAUGCACUUCCAAUUGCAGAUGAUGAUGUUCCUUCUACUUACACAGAAGCAAGAAGUAACUCUGAUAGUGUAAAGUGGAAGCAAGCUAUGAAUGAAGAAAUGCAGUCUCUUCAUAAAAAUAAGACCUGGGAGUUGGUGACACUACCCAAGGGAAAGAAGGCAAUUGGAUGCAAAUGGGUAUAUGCAAAGAAGGAAGGAUUUCCUGAUAAAAAUGAAAUUCGAUACAAGGCUAGAUUAGUAGCAAAGGGUUACGCUCAGAAAGAAGGAAUAGACUACAAUGAAGUGUUUUCUCCAGUUGUGAAGCAUUCGUCUAUUCGGAUUUUGCCAGCCUUGGUUGCGCAAUAUGAUCUUGAACUAGUUCAGCUUGAUGUGAAGACCGCGUUUUUACACGGUGAUUUGGAAGAGGAAAUCUAUAUGACUCAGCCAGAUGGAUUCAAGGUUGCUGAUAAAGAAAAUUGGGUUUGCAAACUAACAAAGUCACUUUAUGGAUUGAAACAAUCUCCAAGGCAGUGGUACAAGCGAUUUGAUCAGUUCAUGAAAGGGCAAAGGUAUACAAGAAGUAAAUUUGAUCAUUGCGUGUAUUUUCAGAAGCUACAAGAAGGAUUUUUCGUAUACUUGCUCUUAUAUGUUGAUGAUAUGUUGAUAGCAUCUAAGAGUAAAGUUGAAAUUGAGAGAUUGAAGACUCAACUCAACCUUGAGUUUGAGAUGAAAGAUCUAGGAGAAGCUAAAAAGAUUCUCGGCAUGGAAAUAUGGAGAGAUAGAGCUAAUGAUAGAGUUAGCUUGUCUCAGAAGCAGUAUUUGAAAAAGGUACUACAGCAGUUUGGCAUGAACGAGCAGACAAAACCUGUAAGUACCCCGUUGGCUUCUCAUUUCAAGCUUUCUGCACAACUAUCUCCUUCGGCGAAUACGAAACGAGAAUACAUGUUGCAAGUUCCGUAUUCUAAUGCAGUAGGUAGCUUGAUGUAUGCAAUGGUGUGUACAAGACCCGACAUUUCACAGGCAGUUAGUAUAGUGAGCAGGUAUAUGCAUAAUCCUGGAAAAGGACAUUGGCAAGCUGUGAAAUGGAUUCUACGAUAUAUUCAUAAGACCAUGGAUAUUGGAUUACUGUUCAAGCAGGAUAUUACACUUGGUAAAGGUGUUGUUGGGUACGUUGAUUCUGAUUAUGCCGGUGAUUUGGACAAACGAAGAUCAACCACUGGUUAUGUGUUUACUCUUGCUGGAGGACCAAUAAGUUGGAAGUCUACACUGCAGUCUACAGUUGCGUUGUCAACCACAGAAGCUGAAUACAUGGCUGUAACAGAGGCUGUAAAGGAAGCUAUUUGGUUACAAGGUAUGGUUAAAACCUUGGGAUUGGUUCAGGAGCAUAUUAAUGUGUAUUGUGAUAGUCAAAGUGCUAUUCAUUUAGCAAAGAAUCAAGUCUAUCAUGCACGUACAAAGCAUAUCGAUGUACGUUUCCACUUUGUGCGGGAAAUUAUUGAUGAGGGGAAAAUUCACCUUCAGAAGAUUAAGACUGCAGAUAAUCCCGCAGAUAUGAUGACCAAGGUGGUAACAACAAUCAAGUUCGAACAUUGUUUGAACUUGAUCAAUAUUCUGCAUGUUUAACAGUUGAAGAAGGCACUAUCAAGUGUUGUUGACAAAGGCAGAGAGAAUUGUGUGAAGAUAAGAUUACUCGAAUCAAAUCUUCAAGGUGGAGAUUAUUGGGAAUUAUCCAUAUUUAUGAAAAAUCAAAGAUAUGGGUAUCAAAUAAUAGAAAGUCAAAGAUAUGGGUAUCAAAUAUUGGAAAGUCAAAGAUAUGGGUAUCAAAUAUUGGAAAGUCAAAGAUAUGGGUAUCGAGAUAUUGGCAUAAUAAAAUCUGAGAUAUUUGCAAUAUAUGGUCCCUAAUUGUAAAGUGACUUUGCAAGUUGAUCCCUGAACCUCAACUAUAAAUAGGCAUAACCAUCUCUCAUUCUGUAUCUCAAACUUGCCAUUCUCUACUUAAGGCAUUGUUUUCUCUCUCUCUCUUUGUAAAUUCUCACUUGUAUUUUGGAGUGAAAUAUAUUUGGUAGUGCCCGAGGACGUAGGCAAAAUUUGCUGAACCUCGUUAAAUUCUUGUGUUCUUUAUUGUAUUAUUCUGCAUGAAUUGUGUGUGUGAUUGUAGUGAUUUAUUGUGCUAUUAAAUUACGAUUGAGGGAUAUUCUGGCUAGGAAAGACCUGGUACUUAAGCGAUCCUUGUGAUCCACCUCUCUUUCCUGGGAAUUGAACUUAGUGUGAUUUUUUAGUACAAUAAUUUUACUCUUUUACACGCUUCCGCACAACAUCUACAUAUCAUUACAUAUGAUUGAGAAGAAAUGAAAUGCUAAAUACGCGAAGAAACAAUAAAUUCAUUAAAUAGUAGCUUGCAACCAUUACUUUGGAAGAAAUCAUCUAUCCAUCUUCAUAAGGAUAAAGAAUAUUCAUAGUCAAAGGAGAGUCCCCCAAAACACCCAUACGAUUCGAAGAUUCAUGAUUCAAAUGUGUUGGAGGAACCUAUAAGCAAAACAGAAUCAAAUACUGACCCAAAAAUAAGCAGAUAAAGUUAAAAACUUUGCAACAUGAUAACACAAUAAAUAAGGAGAAAAGUAAACAGCAUUACGCAUAGAUUUAAAAACUGAAAGGUUUCCAACUUAGGAUUUCUUUUUCUUUUUUGUUCCUACCCGAUGUUUCUUGCUUGGUUUGGUAUCGUACCAUAAAUGUGGGAUCAAUCAGAUAGUCCUGAAAUAACUAUUUAAAGUUUAAAGUGUUCAUGUCUUACGGUAUAAAAUUACAAUUACAAUUACAAGUACAAGAGAAGAGAACCAUUUUUAUAAUACACAAAACAUUUACAAUAUGACACAUACUUACCUUACUCCGUUUUUCUUCUUUACCAUUACCUCUCACACGCUUACGACUCUCUUUUUACAUCAUAGCAAGAAUUAAAACCCCCAUCCUUAUUUAUAAAGUUUAGGGGUUGUUAGAUUAUUAACACAUGUAAACAUCCUUACUAUUUAUUUUAUAAAUAUCUAAUAAUUAGGAUGUUCAUCUAAAAUAUUUAAUUUUCUAGAUAAUAUCCUAUAUUCUAGAAUCUUCCCAAUAAAAUAUCUCUUAAAAGAUAAGUAUAGAUAUACAACAUUUCUAUCUUUUAAACAUUGUACAUACAUAUUUUUUUUAUGAUUGUGUAAAAAUAAAUAUGGUACAACCUCUUUAAUGUCUUCUAAAAAUAAUUAGAAUAUAAAUACAUAUAUUCACGUACAACCCACGCCAUUUUGAACAUUAGUUUUACUCAAUGUUGUAACUGCCUUGCCUUAUAUUUUCUCUAUAUCCUAUAAUUUUACAUAAAACACCUAACAGAACACGUGUUACUACAAUAUUUUUGGGUGUCUUAUAAACUCAAAAUUUGUUAUUUUCUACUUUACCAUAUCUUUCUUAUUCAUAGUUAAUAUUUAUUUUUUAUGUUUAAAAUAAUAUUAAAAGUAAAAAUUUAAUUAAAAUGGUUUACUGCAUAAAAUUAAUAUAUAACUUAAUAUAUAUCAAGAAAAUUACGAAUUUUUAAUUUAUACAAUUAUUUUUUAUAUUUUAUUUUUUCAAUAUAUUCAAAUUAAAUUUUUAAGUAAAUAAAUGUAAUUAAAUUAAAUUAAUACACAUAACCAACUCGGAAUAAAAACCUAAUUUUUUACCAUUAUCUCUCACAUCUCUUGCUUAUGACUCUUUUUUUACAUCAUAGCAAGAAUUAAAGCUCUCACCCUUAUUUAUAAAGUUUAGGGGUCGUUAGAUUGUUAACACAUGUAAACAUCCGUAUAAUUUAUUUUAUAAAUAUCUAAUAAUUAGAAUGUUCAUCUAAAAUAUCUAAUUUUCUAGAUAGUAUCUUUUUUUUUAAUUUUAUAUUCUGAGAAUUUUUGCAAGAAAAUAUUUCUUAAAAUAUAAGUAUAGAUACACAACAUUUCCAUCUUUUAAACAUUGUACAUACAUAUUUUUUUUAUGAUUGUGUAAAAAUAAAUAUUGUACAUACAUACCUCUUUAAUGUCUUCUACAAAUAAUAAGAAUAUAAAUACAUAUAUUCACGUAACCCACGCCAUUUUGAACAUUAGUUUUACUAAAUGUUGUAAGUGGCUUGCCUUAUAUUUUCUCUAUAUCGUAUAAUUUAACAUAAAAAAACCUAACAGAACACGUGUUACUACAAUAUUUUUGGGUGUCUUAUAAACUCAAAAUUUGUUAUUUUCUACUUUACCAUAUCUUUCUUAUUCAUAGUUAAUAUUUAUUUUUUAUGUUUAAAAUAAUAUUAAAAGUAAAGAUUUAAUUAAAAUAAUAUAUAACUUAAUAUAUAUCAAGAAAAUUAUGAAUUUUUAAUUUAUACAAUUAUUUUUUAUAUUUUAUUUUUUUAAUAUAUUCAAAUUAAUUUUUUAAGUAAAUAAAUGUAAUUAAAUUAAAUUAAUACACAUAACCAAGUAAAGAACCUAAUUUUUUUCUUAUUCAUAUGAUUUUAACUUUUGCCUUUUAUAUGUCAUCUAAGUGCACAUAUAGUAUCAUUCAUAACCAAACUACUAUUAAUGGAAGAAUCAACUUAAAAACCCUUAUCCAACUUAAAAGUUCCUCUUCAAAUUUAAAAAUGAAUAAUUCUUACCUGAAAAAUCUCAUCUACCAUGUAUGCAUUACUUGAACAAAAUAACGAGAAGCAGCAAUUACUCUAGCCGUUGUUUCUUCUUUAACUUAGCCAACUUCAAAUUGGCUUCUCGUAUAGUUUCUCACAAUUUCUUUAUCUCUGCUUGAUCCUCCAAUGUUUGACAAGUCUUUGCCAAGUUAACCUUUAGCCAUGAAAGUUCCAAAUAGAGGAUCUCUAUGUCUUUCACCCUUUACCAACUUAUCAUCGAUAUCAGUUAGCUCAAGCUUAUUCAGAUUGCUUUCUAAUCUUCAGUAAAUUUCAACAACUGUAUUUAUAAUGUUGCUUUGAAACUCUUGAUUGUUCAAUAGAAAUUGGUCAGCAAAGUGAACAUGGUUUUGAAAUAUUUUAUUGAGCGCGUCAGCAUUGUGUUAAGAAACCUCGUAUCUGUUGAUGAUGACAGCUGUGACAUCAAAGGUUGAGAAAAAAAUGAAAUGCUAAAAAUUAUCUUUAAUAUAACUCAAAGAAACAAUAAAUUCAUGAAAUAGUAGCUUGCAGCCAUUACUUUGGAGCAAAUCAUCUAACCAACUUUUCUGGGCCACAAAAUCUCCACGUCUCCCAAAGAAGAUUCAGGAUUCAAGUGUGCUGGAGGAACCUAUAAGCAAAACAGAAUCAGAUAUUGGUCCAAAAAUAAGCAGAUAAAAUUAAAAACUUUGCAACAUAAUAACACAAUAAAUAAGGAGAAGAGUAAACAGCAUUACGCAUAGAAUUAGAACCUGACAGCUUUCCUACUCAGGAUUUCUCUUUUUUUUUUUGUGUGUGUUUCUAGUUGAUAUUUCUUGUUUGAUUUGGUAUCUUACCAUAAAUGUGGGAUCAAUCAGAUAGUCCUGAAAUAACUAUUUGAAGUUGUUAAGAAAAGAAGCUUAAAGAGUUGAAUGAAUAACUGUUAAUUCCUUUGAGUAAAAAUGCAGUAAAUAUAUACAGAAAAUGUAACUAACACUAUAACUAAUUACAUACUGUUACUUAAUUUCUAACUAACUAUACAAAUGCUGGUACAACAGUUUUACACUCUCAACAUGCCCCCUCAAGUUGGAGGAUGAAAAAUGUCUUUCAUUCCCAACUUGGUCACUAAGUAUUUGUGCUGAGGAAUGCUUAAUCCUUUAGUAAGUAAAUCUGCCAUUUGUUCAUUUGUUAAGAUGUGCUUUGUUUCCACGUCACCUUUUUGAAUUUUCUCUCGAAUAAAAUGACAAUCUAUCUCAAUGUGCUUUGUUCUUUCAUGGAAGACCGGAUUUGAAGCUAUUUGAAGGGUAGCUUGAUUGUCACAAUGUAACAACAUUGGUUUUGAAAUUUUAACUCCCAACUCAGCUAAUAAACCUUUCAACCAGACUAGCUCUGCAACUGUGGUAGCCAUACUUCUGUAUUCUGCUUCUGCAGAUGAUCUAGAUACCGUAUUCUGUUUCUUGGAUUUCCAGGAAAUCAAAGAAUUUCCCAAUUUGACACAAUAUCCUGUAACUGACUUUCUAGUCAUGUUGCAUGAAGCCCAAUCAGAGUCACAAUAUGCAUGUAUAUCUGUCGUUCCUUCUGCUGUGAGAAAAAUACCUUGACCAGGAUUCUUCUUGAGGUAUCUCACAAUACGCAAAGCAGCCUCAUAAUGUUCCUUCUUCGGUUUCUGCAUAAACUGACUAAGGUGUUGUACUCCAAAUGCAAUAUCUGGUCUAGUAUUGGUGAGAUAUAGGAGUCUUCCUAUUAAUCUUUGAUAUAUGCUUGCAUUUUCUAAUUCUGUAUCUGCAUCGUGUAUGUCUAGUGCUGCAUCAUAUUCCAGACUUGUCAUUUUUAGAUUCUGCUCCAAGGGUGUAUUUGCAGGCUUUGCAUUUGUCAAACCAAGAUCAUUAAUAAGUUCAAGAACAUAUUUUCUCUGAUUCAUAAUGAUACCCUCUUUAGAUCUUGCUAUUUCUAUGCCAAGGAAAUACUUGAGAGUACCCAAAUUCUUCAUUUUGAAAUUCUGAUGAAGAGUUUCUUGUAAGUCUUCAAUUAAGGAUUUGUCAUUCCCAGUGAUCAAGAGAUCAUCAACAUAAAUGAGAAAAAUAACAACUUUGCUACCAGAUGAUUUGAUGAACAUAGAGUAGUCAUGCUUACUUUGAACAUAACCGGUGUUGAUGAGAGCCUCACUGAGCUUCAAAUUCCAUUGUCUUGAGGCCUGUUUUAAUCCAUAAAGGGAUUUGAGCAGUCUACAUACAUGAUUGCCCCCUGGAGUGCCAAAUCCCUGAGGUAAGUGCAUGUAAACUUCUUCAUGAAGGUCACCUUGAAGAAAUGCAUUAUAGACAUCCAUUUGAAUGAGAGGCCAGUUAAAUAAAGCAGCAAGAGCAAUAACAAUUCGGACUGUAACCUGCUUAACAACUGGGGAAAACGUGUCCUGAAAAUCAAUACCUUCCUUUUGACUAUAGCCUUUAGCCACUAAUCUUGCUUUAUAGCGUUCAAUAGUGCCGUCUGAAUGGUAUUUGAUUCGAAACACCCAUUUGCAGCCAAUGGGACGUUUUCCUGGUGGGAGUGGAACAACCUCCCAAGUUGAGUUUGCUUCUAAAGCUUGAAUUUCCUGUUGCAUCGCAGCUUUCCAACAAUCAUGUUGAAUGGCCUCUUGGUAGGUUCGAGGUUCAGAGGUGGUAGAGAUGGAAGCAACGAAACAUUGAGUGUGUAAAGGUAAGUGAUGACAUGUUAUAAAGUUGGAGAUUGAAUAUUGACCUUGUGCAGUAGUAGAAGAAGAUGAAGAAGUAGGACAAAUGUAAUCUUGCAUCCAGACAGGUGGUUUGGUGUUUCGGGUGCUUCUUCAAGAAGGAUAAGAGGGUAAGGAAGAUGUUGGUAGGGUAGAAGAAAUAGAGAAAGUAGGGAGGGAAGGUGGUGGUGGUGGUGUUGAAGUGGUAAAAAGAAAAUCAGGGUCAUGCAAAGAACCAAAUGUAUUGUCAUCCAAAGGAAAGAGGGGUUGAUCUUUGGAGGGUGUUGUAAAAGGAAAGACAGAUUCAUGAAAUAGAACAUCUCGACUAACAAAAAAAUUUUGGGAAACAGGAUUGAACAGGAUAUAUCCUUUUUGGACUUGAGAAUAACCCAUAAAAAUGGAUGGUGUAGCUUUGGGAGAAAAUUUAUCAUGCAGAUUGGUUACUGUGGCAUAGCAAAGACAACCAAAAAUUUUAAGGUGAGAAAGAUUUGGUGGCGUAUUAUACAGCAGCUCAAAAGGUGUUUUCCAGCGAAGUACUGCAGAAGGUAACCUAUUAAUUAAGUAACAAGCUGUUAAAACACAUUCCCCCCAAAACUUAAUAGGUACAUGCGAUUGAAAUUUUAAUGCUCGGGCAACAUCUAAAAGAUGGCGGUGUUUGCGUUCGGCCACACCGUUUUGCUGAGGUGUGUGGACACAAGAUGAUUGGUGAAUGAUUCCAAGGGAUUGAAAAAAGAAAGUACCUUCUUUAGUAAAAAAUUCAUGACCAUUGUCACUGCGAACAGUUUUAACAAUUCCAGAAAAUUGUGUUUUGGCUAACAUAAUAAACUGCUUAAGGUUAAAAAGGGCAUCACUCUUAAGUUUUAAAAGAUAUAUCCACGUCAUUCGAGUAUGGUCAUCAACAAUGGUUAAAAAAUAUCUAUGACCAGAAUGAGUUGAAGUGCGAUAAGGACCCCAGAGAUCGACAUGGACAAGAGUAAAAGGUUUUGAUUCUCGUGAAGUACUUUGUGGAAAGGGUAAGCGUGUUUGUUUUGCUAAUGGACAGACAGUGCAUGUUUGAAUGUUAUGAGAAUGCACAGAGCAAUUAUGUAAAAAGUGUAUUUUAUUCAUCUUUGAAAAAGAUGUGUGACCAAGUCUAGCAUGCCACAGAGGGUAAUCAACAUGCUUAGAAACAGAUAAAGAAGUAACAUUUGAAGAAUGUACAGGAAGAGGUACGGGUAGGAAAGUGGGAGUUGAGGAGGGUUGAGGGAGGAGUAGAUAAAGACCAUCUUGUUCCUUACCAAUCCCCAUCAUCUUUCCACUGCAAAGGCCCUGUAAAACACAAAAUGUAGGAUAAAAGGAAAUAAAACAAUUGAGAUCUUUGGUGAGUUUAGAAAUGGAGAGAAGGUUAAAAUUGAAUGAGGGAAUGUAAAGAACAUCUUUAAGAGUGUGAUGAGGUGUAAGAUUAUGAGUACCAAUAUGAGUGAUGGUGGCUGUGUUACCAGUAGGCAAUUUAACAAAAGUGUUGUUAGCACAUGCAACAGGUUGAAUUAAAGCAUUAAAAGCAUGCGUCAUGUGAUUAGAAGCCCCAGUAUCAAGAAUCCAAUGAAUCGGAUCAGAUGCAUAAGAUAUACCUGCCAUGUGAGCUACAGCUUGCACAGAAGAGUUCUUGUGUAAUAGGUCCAAGAUCUGUUGAUACUGUUCAGCAGUAAAUGUAGGAGCCGAAACAAUAGAUGGUGAAGAAGCAGGCAUAGUAAGAGAAUCAGAAGAAGGAACAACAACUUGAUUGACAGUUGGUGAUUUCUUCUUGGUGAACUUGAAAUCAGCAGGAAAGCCAUUGAGGCGAUAGCAGUCGGUUCGAAUGUGACCCCGUUUUUGACAAUAACUACAAGACAAAUCAGAACGCUUCUUGGAAACCGAAGAAGUUGAUGAUUGCUGACUAAGAAGAGCAGUAGGUUCCGAGACAGGUAGUGGAGAAGCAAGUUCUCGUUGAGUUUCAUCACGCAUGACAAGCGAGUAAGCCUGAUUAACUGUGGGCAAAGGUUGCAUCAAAAGGAUCUGGGAUCGAACAUUAGAAUAUGUUUCAUUUAAACCCAUCAAAAACUGAAAAAGACGUUGUUGUUGAAGUUGAGCAUUUCGGCGAAUAAGAUCACAAUCGCAGGUAGAUGAAGGAACAAGAACAUCAUAUUCAUCCCAAAAUAAUCGAAGCUUAGUAAAGUAAGUGGAAAUAGAAUAAGCUCCCUGAGUGUGAGUGGAAAUAGCACGAUGGAGAUAGUAAAUACGAGAACCAUCAACCUUGUCAUAUCGUUCCUGAAGAUCCUUCCAAACAAUGGCAGCAUUGGACGCAAAAACAAUUCCAGCAGAAAGUUCCUGAGUAACAGUGUUAAGGAUCCAAGAAAGAACCAAAGCAUUGCAUCUAUCCCAAUGAGGCAUUAGAUCAGCAUCAAAGUCAGCACGGGAACAUGAACCAUCAAUAAAACCAAGCUUAUUCUUGGCAAGAAGGGCGAUAUGCAUAGACCUGCUCCAAACGCAAUAGUUUUCAGUUCCAGUGAGAUGAUGAGAAACCAAAAGCAUUCCUGGCAUGUCAGAAGGAUGCAAAUAAAGAGGAUGGCCAAAUGGCAAAUUGAAAGAGGAAGGAUUAGCCAUGAAGAAAAAAAAGAAAGAAGAGAAGAGAAGAAUAAAGAAGAAAACUAGAUCAAAGAUGAUCAGGAAAAAGAUUUAGCCUGAUACCAUGUUAAGAAAAGAAGUUUAAAGAGUUGAAUGAAUAACUGUUAAUUCCUUUGAGUAAAAAUGCAGUAAAUAUAUACAGAAAAUGUAACUAACACUAUAACUAAUUACAUACUGUUACUUAAUUUCUAACUAACUAUACAAAUGCUGGUACAACAGUUUUACACUCUCAACAGAAAUUUAAGUGUUCAUGUUGUAUCUCUCUUACAGUAUAAUAUUAAAGUUUUGGAUUCAAACUUCAAUCUGGUACAUAAACUUGAAUGGACAAUGGCAGGAUAGCAUUCUCUCUACAACUACAUGUAAACAAGAGAAUGAAUUAGAAAUUAAAGAAAAAAUGAAUAAUGAUGAUCCGAUCAGUUUAUAGUUUGCAAAAGAUAAAAUAGACAGCUCGUUAAAGAAAUUAAAGGAAUGACAAGUUCUACAAACAUGCCAGUAGGAGUAAGUGAGAUGAGUUAAAAACUUAAUUGGUGAUAACUGAAUAUUGAACUUUAUUUUUGCAUCAUUCAUUAAAAUAGUAGAAAAGAAGUUAGUGGACGAUACAUGCUUGCAUUUUCAGGUCAUAAUUUGCUCUGUGAAACUCAAAAUUCAAUCCUUACCAUCGUUUGGUCUAUUGUUUCCAUUUUCAAUGUUAAUUUCUCUACUCUUCCUCCCACAUGUAUUAGGGUAAAAUUUACUUUCUCAGCUAGUUUCUCUUGAUCAAUCAUCUUCAUUCGAAAUAUAUAAAGAUGAGUAGCAAAGUAAAACAGAGAACAGAACAAUAGAGGCAGACUUCAAACAAAUUACUAAGAAAUGUUAUGGCAACGUUAAAAAGUCUACUCCUUAAUUAACUUGAUGAUAAGCUAUUUUGCAAGACUCAUGUUUGCUACAAAAGGGUUUUCAUGAUAAAUGUAAAACCUUAUACUCCAUUGAUUAAAAGAGGACAUCCUAACACUCCUUUUGCUAUAUAAAAACCUUAUAUAUAAUCCCUGCAUGUAGCUUCAAAUCGUACAAUAGACUCAUAAUUCAUACCUAUAAAUGUUCAUGCUUGCAAAUAAUAGGUAUAUAAAUAAUGACAGGAUCUUUAAUUACCUCUGAUGUCAGAUGUCACAACAGCCAUCGUCAACAGAUACGAGAUUCAUCAACACAAUGCUGACGCGCUCAACAAAAUAUUUCAAAACCAUGCUCACUUUGCUGACCAAUUUCAAUUGAAUAAUCGAGUGUUUCAGAGCAACAUUAUGAAUGCAGUCGCUGAAAUUUAUCAAAAAUUAGAAAGCAAUCUGAAUAAGCUUGAGCUAACUGAUAUCAAUGAUAUGUUAGUAAGGGUGAAAGACACGGAGGUCCCCGGUUUGGAGCUUUCAUGGCUAAAGGAUAAGUUGGCAAAGACUCAUCAAACAUUGGAGGAUCAAGCAGAGAUAAAGAGAUUGUAAGAAACUAUCCGAGAAGCCAAUCUAAAGUUGGCCAGGUUAGAGAAGAAACAACAGCUAGAGUAAUUGCUGCUUCUCGUUAUUCCUUUAAAGUAAUAGCAGCCAAGGUUCUGUCUAGUCUCUCGUACAAAUUGCCGUCACACUAGGUGAAUUUUGGUCCUUGGAAUCCCAGGUCACAUAGAUGAUUAUUAGAGCAAAACGAUUGGAAAUGAGAACACCCCCUACCGCCUUUCCAUUCAUCCAUACUUAGAAUAGAGUUAAAAGCACCACUAAGAAUCCAUGGUUUUGUCAUAUUAUCUACAAUCAAACUUAAACAUUCCCACAAACUAUGCCUUUUAUUGCUUUGAGGACUAGCAUAAAUGAUCGAGACAAAGAAUUGUCAUUGAAGAGCAGACUCUUUAAUCUUAACAGUAGUUGAAAUACUUUCAUCGCCCAAUAUAAUUCGUUACAUUUUGUUGGUGUUGGAAACAAAGAAUAGACAAAUUUAGCUUGCGGCUUGAGCAGCAAGGCUCGAUGCUUGCUGAAGAAACAAUGGAGCUCGAGAAAGAAAAUGAAAAGGAAAGCAAAGAGAAGUGAAGUGAAGAGUAUUGGAACAAAAACUGAUAAUUUUUUAUUCAUCAUAAUCAAUGGCAUAAUGCCAAUACAUAAAUCAAACUUUCAGCUUGUCAAAAAGCAGUAUGCCAACCUAACCAAUACCUACUACCACUAAUACAUUGAAACUUGAAGUAAUUAACUUGUACACAUAAGCAAAGCUGAAUUAAUCAGCUCAAUCACUGUCAAUAUUACAUCAAAUAUCAACCUCACAUAGUUCAAAAUGAACUAAUUAAAUUACAUUACAUCAACUAAGGAUUACAAAAAAGAAACAAAACAUCCUUGUUUGCUCGACUAACCAGCAGCUCCUGCAUGACAUAUGUUUGGUUGGUUUUGUUGCUGCAUGCUGACCAACCUUCAACACAUUUUGACCAUUACAGCCCAGCUACCCUGCAUAUCUUUUCCGAGGAAUAUUCUUACUUGAUCUAUUCAAAAUGUACUUGGCAACUAGUUCUUGCAAGGAAAACCAUAAUAAUUUUCCCUAUUUGAAAUCUUGGAAAUAUUUUAAAUCAACUGAAUCAUUUCACUCGAAUACUUUAUUAAUUUUAUACAAAUUAUUCUUCGCAUCAACAAAUAUUAUUCAGGACAUUGCACCCACUUUCAUGCAGAAUUAUUUUUACCAUGCAAGGAAUUGUCUCCAUGAAUUACUGUCAUCUUUUAGUGUAAGAUGAGUAAAUUUCAACCAGUAAUAACUUUCUUGAUGAACAUGAUGUUGUUCCAAUAGGGUCGGAAGCGUGUAAAUUAUUGUACUAAAAAAUCACACAAAGUUCAAUUCCCAGGGAAGAGAGGUGGAUCACAUGGAUCUCUUAAAUACCAAGUCUUUCCUUAGACAGAAUAUCCCUUCUAUAGUAAUUUAAUAGCACAAUUAAAUACUACUAUUAUACCCUCAAAUAUUGAAAGAAAAAUAGGACAAGAAAGAACACAAGAGUUUUAACGAGGUUCGGUAAAUUAUACCUACGUCCUCGGGCACUAACACCAGAUGAUAACUUUACUAUCUUCAAAGUAUUACAAACAAAUAGAAUUCCUUAAGAAUUCUCAAAUGAGAGAAGAGAGAAAACUAAGAGAGAAAGAUUGGUUGGGAUGAAUUGAAAUGAGAAAUGAGAAGGCCUAUUUAUAGUUGAGGUUUAAGGACCAAACAAUAAAUAGCCCAUUAUCUCAAGGACCAAAAAAAAUUAUCCCAUGCCACUUUUUCAAAGUCAACUUUAGGGUGCUAAACUUGCACCACUUUGUAUUGUUUGCCAUUAAUGUUGUCUCCCAUUAAUGUUAACAAUCUCCACUUUGAAGAUUUGAUUAGGAUAAUCACAUCUUCACACACUUCCUUCAACUCCCCAAAUUCGAUAAAGCUAUCUUUUGUAGUGCCUACAAAUGCACUCUCGAGCGCCAUACACCUGAAGGUGCUCAAAUUCUCAGGAUGUUAAUCAAGUUCAAACAAUGAUUAAACUUGAUUGUUGUUACCACCUUGGUCAUCAUAUCUGCGGGAUUAUCUGCUGUCGAAAUCUUCUGAAGUAGAAUUUUUCCUUUUUCAAAGACUUCCCGCACAAAGUGAUAUCUUACGUCGAUAUGCUUGGUUCUUGAAUGAUAGACUUGAUUUUUCGCUAAAUGAAUAGCGCUCUGACUGUCACAAUAUAAACUUAUGUGACUUUGAACAACUCCUAAGUCUUUCAACAAUCCAUUAAGCCAAAUAGCCUCCUUAACAGCUUCUGUAACUGCCAUAUAUUCUGCCUCUGUAGUAGACACAGCUACUGUAGACUGUAAGGUAGACUUCCAACUUACUAGGGCUUUCGCAAGAGUAAACAGAUACCCCGUAGUUGAACGACGUUUAUCUAAAUCACCAGCAAAGUCGGAAUCAACAUAUCCAACUACAAACUGACCAAGUGCUUCAUCCUGCUCAAAAAUUAAACCAACAUCUACGAUUUUUCGAAGAUACCGUAGAAUCCAUUUCACAGCUUGCCAAUGUCCUUUUCCAGGAUCAUGCAUAUACCUGCUCACAACUCCAACAGCUUGUGAAAUGUCAGGCCUCGUACACACCAUCGCAUACAUCAAACUCCCAACUGCAUUAGCAUAUGGGACUUUCGCCAUAUAUUCUCUUUCAUCUUCAGUCUUCGGAGAUAAUUGAGCACUAAGUUUCAAAUGAGAAGCAAGUGGGGUACUUACAUGUUUUGUGUUUUCAUUUACACCAAAACAUUGUAAUACCUUUUUCAGAUAUUGCUUCUGAUUUAAACAGAGCUUGCCUCUCGGUCAAUCUCUACUUAUCUCCAUGCCGAGAAUCUUCUUGGCCUCACCUAGAUCUUUCAUCUCGAACUCUUGAUUCAACUGAGCCUUCAGCUUAUCUAUCUCUUUUUGGCUCUUCGAAGCGAUUAACAUAUCAUCAACAUACAAGAGUAGAUAAAUGAAAGAUCCGUCAUGCAGCUUCUGCAAAUACACACAAUUGUCAUAUUUGCUUCUUGUGUACUUCUGCCUUCUCAUAAAGCUAUCAAAUCGCUUGUACCACUGCCUCGGGGAUUACUUCAAUCCAUAUAGCGAUUUGUUUAGCUUACAAACCCAAUUUCUACCACUAGCAUCUGUGUAUCCUUCGGGCUGAGUCAUAUAGACCUCCUCUUCUAACUCACUAUGCAAGAAAGCCGUCUUAACAUCAAGUUGAUCUAGUUCCAAAUUCAACUGUGCUACCAAGGCCAACAAAAUUCUAAUGGAGGAAUGCUUCACAACAGGGGAAAAUACAUCAUUGUAGUCAAUUCCCUCCUUCUGAGCGUAGCCUUUAGCUACCAAUCUUGCUUUGUAGCGAAUAUCCUUCUUGCUAGGAGAUCCAUCUUUCUUUGCGAAUACCCACUUGCAUCCGAUUGCCCUUUUACCUUUCGGUAAUUGCGCCAAUUCCCAAGUAUUGUUCUUCAGGAGAGACUGCAUUUCUUCAUCCAUGGCGCUUUUCCAUUUAUCACUUUCUAAGCUUUGCAUUGCUUCUUGAUAAGUGAUAGGAAUAUCAUCAUCAACGGGAAGGGCGUAGGCCACCAUAUCAGUAAAUCGAACAGGUUUACGAAUUUCUCUUCGUGGCCUUGCAAUUGCAACUGGUUCUGGUGUACUUAGUGGUUCUUGGGUCAGAACCUCUUCAACCUUUAAUUCCUCCAUUGUGGCUGGAGAAUUAGACUUAUUAACUGGGCAAAUCCCCAUCUGCUCAAACUCCACCUGUUUUGGAGUACACUCCACCUGCUGUGGAGUAUUGCUCGUCUGAAUAUCUUUAUCUGCUACCUUUUUCAAUGUGGCAGAUUCAUCAAAGGUAACAUCUCUGCUACAGAUCAUUUUCUUUGUGCUUAAGCACCAAAGACGAAAUCCCUUCACUCCAGAAGUGAUUCCCAUAAAGAGAGCUUUCUUUGCCCUCGGAUCUAACUUUGACACCUUCACAUGGUAAUAUGCAGUGGUUCCAAACACAUGUAAGGAAUCAUAAUCUGUAGCCGGUUUUCCAGACCAUACCUCCAUAGGAGUUUUUCUUUCUAAUGCAGAUGAUGGCAAACGAUUAACAAGAUGGCCAGCGUAUGUCACAGCCUCAGCCCAAAAUUGCUUGCCCAACCCAGCAUUGGACAACAUACAUCGAACUUUCUCCAGUAAUGUUCGAUUCAUACGCUCUGCCAAUCCAUUCUGCUGUGGUGUAUCCCUAACUGUGAAGUGUCAAACAAUACCAUACUCUUGGCACACAUCGAAGAACGGAUCACUUUUAUAUUCCCCUCCAUUGUCCGUCCUAAGCCGCUUGAUUUUCUUGCCAGUCUGGUUUCCGAUCAUAGUUUUCCAUUUAAGAAAAACUCUAAGCACUUCAUCCUUAGUUCUCAUGGUAUACACCCAAACUCUUCUGGAAAAGUCAUCAACAAAAGUAACAAAGUAAUGUUUUCCUCCCAAUGAAGGUGUCUUGGAAGGCCCCCACACAUCUGAGUGAACAUAUUCCAAAAUACCUUUUGUAUUAUGGAUAGCAGUACCGAAUUUCACUCUCUUUUGCUUUCCCAGAACACAAUGCUCGCAAAAUUUUAAUUUGCAAGCCUUUGCACCUUUCAACAAUCCUUGCUUUGCUAGAAUUUGCAAGGAUUUUUCGCUGGCAUGUCCCAACUUCAUAUGCCACAACUGUAUUGAGUCCAAUUCUUUGUUGCCGGAAGCUGCAGCGACUGCUCCAAUAACUGUACUACCUUGGUAGUAAUACAAGUUAUUUUUCCUGAUGCCCUUCAAUAUCACAAGUACGCCAGAUGUCACUUUCAAAACCCCAUCUCUCAUAGUAACAACUGAACCAUUGGAUUCCAAGGCUCCCAAUGAGAUGAGAUUUUUUUUCAAACUGGACACGUACCGAACAUCAGUCAGAACUCUGGUUGAUCCAUCUUUAUUCUUUAAUUGGAUUGAAACUUUAGGGUGCUAAACUUGCACCACUUUGUAUUGUUUGCCAUUAAUGUUGUCUCCCAUUAAUGUUAACACAUGAUAUCUAUUUUGAUGAUAUUACAUGCUUUCUUUUGAUUCAAGAAAGACAAUCAAUGACUUGAAAUUGAAUCAUGAUUUUAAAGGACUUGGGUUUAUAUAAGAUUACAUAGGCGAUAAUUCAAUUUCCUUUUCCUUGUUGGAAAAUUCCCAUUUUGACUUUAUCUUUGAUUUUUAAGUUGUUGUUUUCUUAUUGUUAAUUAUUUUAAAAAAUAAUCCCAUUUUAACUUGCAAACUUAAAUCUUAAACUAUUAUCUUUAUGUUUAAUUUCUAAUGAUAAUUAACAAAAAUAUUUGGUUUUAAAAUUUUAAUACAAUCAAUGAAAUACAAUUCACAUAUAUGAAUGAUGAAAUUUGACGUGAUUAAAUAAAUAUUAAAUUUUGUUACAUUUUUAAUAAUGAAUAUAGGUAAAAUGGUACUAAACAUGAAAUUUGACGUGAUUAAGCAUUUUAAUGUCAUUUAAAACGUGUCAAAUAAAUAUUAGAUUAGAUAUUCAAUAUUAAUAAUAAGUAUAUAUUAAUUGAAUUAGACAUUAUAAUUAGUCAUAACUAUCGAAAUUCAAAAUUGUAAAAAUUAAGAUAUAUUGAAUUAAAUAACUACCAUACAUAAUCUUAUUCUAAUAAUAAUAAUGAAAAAACAAGAGUGUUUAAGAUAAUUUCAUUGUUUUUGCUUAUUCUAUGAUCCAACUAUGGUAGGUAAGCGUGAUGUAGGCUCAUCGUACUCCCAUCCAGUGGCUUUAAUUUGCUCUAAUGGAAUAAAAAAUGAAUCAAUCCUUUUAACUUCUUCUUCUUCCUCUUCAUCAUCGAAAAUCGACUUUAUUUCCAAAAAAAGUUUUGGGUCGAUUUUGGAGCUCCAAUCAAUAUUAUCGAUAUACAUAUCUGUUGCAUUACUUGGCAACUUAUUUGUGCAAGGAAAACGAUGAUAAUAUUCCCAGAAUCUCUGUUGGCUUCUUGGAAAGCUUUUAAACCAGCUGAAUCAUCCCAAUCGAAUACUUUAUCUAUUUUGAACAAAUUAUUCUUUGAUUCAACAAAUCUUUUCCAUGGCAUUGCACCCACUUUUAUGCAGAAUUUUUUUUUUCCUAUGCAGGUAAUGGUUCCUAAGACUUAUCGCUAUCAUUCACUUUGGAACGAGUAAAUUUCAAACUGUAGUACCUUUCUGGGCGAUUAUGAUAUCUUCUUCGAUAGUAGGACAUGAUUUCUUGUAAUCCAAACAAAUAAAUGAAAUGAAAUCACUAAUGUAUGAAUUCAUAGUGAAGAGACUUGUUGGGUUUAUAUAAUAUUAUUAGAGUCGGUGGUGACUCAAUCCUUUUCCUUGUUGGAAAAUGAAUUCUAAUUUCAGUUUGACUAUGAUUUCUAUUUUCUAAAUAUUUGUAUAAUAAAAUUGUACAAUCCCAAAUUUGCCCGGGCCCAAAACCACAAAUUACAAGCCCAAAUUUUCCCGGGGCCCAUUAACCCAAAAUACCCCAGCCUAACAAGCUAAAAUUAAACCCAAAAACAACAUACCCAAAUUAACCCACUUAGACUAAACCCAAACCCGAAUGGCCCAAUUACAACACCCAAAGCCCCAAACAGAACCAGGCCCAAAUAACCAACAAACCCAAUCAGCCCAAAUCCUAAAAAAAAACCUAAUCCCCCUAACCCUAGCGUAGUGCCGCACGUCCCCUCACCCACUUGCUCCAUCAACGUCAACUACCUGCAACAAAGAAGAAAACACGCAAGCAGCAAUAGCAGAGAAAAAUAGAAGCAAAAUCGGCUAUAAAGAGGCCAAAUAUCAUCUUUGUACUUAUUCCUUCCGAUUUUUGUAAAAAAAAAACACAUUAGCAGAAAGAAAUAAAAAAAAUUCAAGGUUAUUUUUUCUAUCAGAUUCGCAUUUCCUUUUUAUUUUUAUUUUCUUUAUUUUGUGUAUUAAAUAAAAAACAAAAAGGAGAAGGAAAGGGGCUCAUUGGGGACGGCCAUCGCUGCGCCGUCAGAGGGCUUCUCCUCUGUCGUCGACUCGGGUCCAAGAGGGGUUGAGAGUUCCCCUCUUUUUUGUUGUUUCCGUGGGUUGAGAGAUCUAGGAUCUCAAGGACGCCACACGAGGGCUGAAAAAUCCAUUUCUUUCGCCGUCGGCCUUUGGCCACGAUGGCGGCGCGUCGGAAGCCUGAGAGGCCCUAAUGGCCGAAGAAGGAAAUAUUUUUUUGAGAGAGCUUGACUCUCUGUUAUCUGUUCUUUUUUAAAAUAAAGGAUGAAUUAUUUUUUUUGUGUGUUUUUUAUAUAUUUAUUUGGGGCAUAAUACGGCACCGUUUUGAGCCUUGGCAUCAGUGGCCAAAACAGUGCCGUUUUGGCACGACCCGCGUCUGACCCGAUCGGCAAGCCUAGGAUCCGCGUGUUUCUGGAUAAAGGGGUUAUUUAUGCCUCUAGUCCUUUCGCUUUUGAGGUUGUUUGCAAUCGGGUCCUUUCCCUUUUUAUCUUUUUUAAUUUCGCCACAAAAUUUCAUGUUUCUCUCGAUUUGGUCCUCAAUGAAACUGUGCGUUUCGGAAGAGAAGAGAAAAUUGCCUUAUCGAUCCCUCGUCCUUCCAGCGCUCCUUAUUUCUGUCCCGGGCCAUAUUUUUAUUUAUUUACACAUUUAAACCCCGAAGUUUGUUUUAAGUUUUAAUUUAGUCCUUUUGUAUUCUGUUUAUUUUCUUAUUAAAAGUAAUAAAUUUGAUAUUAUACUAUUAUUAUUUAAUUAUUGUUGUUGUUAUUUGUUCAUUUAUGUCUUUAAAAUUUCAAAUUUUAUCAUAUAUAUAUAUGCAUAUACUUAUAUACUUAUAUUUUAUAAUUUAUAUCUAUAUAUCUAUAUGCAUAUUUUUAUUCCCGUAAACAUAUACGCAUACCUAUAUGUUUUUAUAUUUUCAUAUAAUUUAUACACACAUACAUAUUCCUGAAUAUACAUACUUAUGUUUUUUAUGAUUUAUAUGUAUAUAUAUACACACCUAGAUAUGCAUAUUUUUUUUUAUAUAUAUGUACAUACAUUCACAUAUUUUAUAAUUUAUAAUAUAAGUACAUAGAUAUACAUACAUAAAUAUUGUUAUCGAUUGUUUUAUUUUAUAUUUAUUUACUUGUUCAUCAUUAUUUUUCUGAAAUGCAUUAGUUCUUUUUAUUUACUCAUUAUUUUAUGUAUAAUUGUUUUUUAUGUGCUCAUUUUAGUUCUGCUUGUAUUAUUUUACUUACAUUAUUAUUGUUAUUCCAUGACGCUCAUUUUUAUUUAGAUUUCAAAAAAAAAAAUUUAAAAAUAUAAGUAAUAUUCGGUAUUUUAGAUCUUCGAGAGAAUCGAGCCCUAAUAUAUUGGAUUAUGACUUUCUUCGUUGAAUUUAAAUAAUCGAGAUUACUCUUUUAAAAAUGAUAAAAAGUUCGUUAUCGAGAAUUUAAUACGUUGUGUCCUAAUGCAUUGGAUGUGACACAUUAUUUUCUCGAGAUGAGGAUUUUUCAAAAUAAAUGCAAUAUUCAAUGUUUAAUAUUUUGAGAAAUUGUGUCCUAACGUAUUGGGUUGCGAUUAUUUCAUUCGAUUUAAACAAUUGAAUAUUCUUUUAAACUUUAUUACACGAAUCUUUUCAAACUCAAGUUUUAAACGAUAUCGGGAAUUAAAAAAAGAUCGUGUUCUAAUUUAUUGGUCGUGAUUCAUUUUUAAUCCAAGAUGGUUAAAUACCUUUUAAAUAAACAUUUUUUCAUUCGCGUAUCGAAAAUUUGAGACAUUGUGUCCUAAUUUACUGGAUAUGAUUCUUUUUCUCGAUUAACGUGAAAUAUGUCUCAUUUUCUCGAAAAUUUUUAACAUUUUAAUACAAGGAUCGUAUUUUUAAAAUUCUUCAAAGUUUUUAAUUUUCGAUAUUAAGACAUUAACUAAUCAACUAAGUACCAAUUUUGGGUGUUAUGACUUUCUCGUACGUAGUUGACUCCCGAACCCGUUUUUCUGAAUUUCGUGGACUAAACUCAUUGUUUUAAUAAGAUUAAAUUGUUUAUUAAAAACAACUAUUUUCACAAUGUGACCCGAUCGCACCUCAUCAAAAAGGAUUGGUGGCGACUUUCAUUUUCGUUUUUUUUUAAAACCCAAGUUGACCCCGUUUUCAUCAAAAAAUAGUGUCUACAAAAAUUAUUAAAAAAUCACUAUAUCAGUAUUGAUUCGUUUCCCUCUGAUUGAUACGUGACAUCCCUAGCUUCUCUAGAAUCCUCAUUGACUAUAUGAUCUCUUCACCCAUUGGUGUUCCCCCAAGAAUGUUUUUUCUCGUUUUCUCCUCCUAAUUCAUAUCUACGAUUAUCACCUCCUAGCUUACCGUUGUCAACUUUCUUCCAGUACACCACUUUUCCCUUAAAGCGAGCUAAGUUCACAUUUACUUUACUUCCAUAUAUACAGAACCCAUUAAGUUUACUAAUUGCCCUCUUAUCUUCCACAAUGCUUGCAAAUCUUACUAAACCAAAACGUAGACCUUUUCGAUCCCUCUUGUUAGGAAUAAACGCGUCCAACACUUUGCCAUGGAACUCAGAGAUUUUCCAUAGUCCCUUCCAAUGAAAACAAGAAGGAAGAUUAGAAACAUAAACUGAAAUCACCAUUUUCUCUAAGGAUUUAGCCCAGUAAUAGUUAACAAUAACUCCACGGCAUCUGAUUAAAAGCACAAGUUAAUUGAAUUACCAAGAAUAAUGUUCUUCAAUACUAUUCCAAAUUCAAUUUUGGAACUUCUGCUAUCAUAGCUUUCCACUGUUUGAAACUUUGUUGGCAUUAUUCAAUCGCACAUAACUAACAUUUUCUGUAGCAACUUUGUCAUGGUAGAGCUAUCAUCGACAAGCCUAAAGAAAUAGUAUACAAUAAAUUCAAGAGAACUACACACUUCUAUAUUAUUUCUCAGAGAUUCCCUAAUUUACAUUUAUCUGGAGUUCAUUCGAAAUAACUCAAAUAUCUUCUACUGUCAAUAAAAGGUUUAGAAAACUUAUUUCUUGAAAUUAAAAAUCACAUUUAUUGAUCUUCACAAAUAAUUAUUUCUCUCGUACUAUCUCUAACACUGUUUUUCCAAUACUAAUCGUAAUAUCUUGUAAUAUCUUCACAUGAAUUGAGUAUCUUUAAUUAUAUAGCAACAACUCUGAUAAGAUACAGCUAGAAACUUUUGUCUAUUAAAUAUAUAAAGUGACUAUGCAAUUGAUAAUCAUAUACAACAAUCAACAUUUGACUAAACUUUGCAACCUAUACAAGUUUUUUUGGGAUUUCAACAAAAUAUAAACAAGAAUCCCGAAAAGAUACUUAAAACAUUUACUCAUCCAUGGAACCUGACUGAAAAAAUUUGGGUUGUCGUCUAGCUCAUAAUCAUAUACAAGGUCAAUACCAAAUUCUAGCACAGAUAAAUCUGAAAGAACCCGAAGACUAAUAUGAUCACCAGCUUCUAAUUCAUCACCCCUAAAGUUCCAACAAGUCGUCCAGUAUAAGGUAUUCUUAGUUUCAGGGAUUCCCAUGAAAUGUUUGGAGUAGGUCCACUUUGUACCUUUGGUGUCGUUCACAAUUUCAAGGCAUGGUAAAAAUCCAUAAGUUCUAUCAUUCUUGGCAGAAAAAAUGAUAAUCGAAUUUAAGAAGCAACUUAUCUUUCGACUAGAGUUUGGGGGCACUGAUAUUGAAACCUCAGUCUUGCCAGCUUGAUGGCCAUAGUAAUGACCAUUGUAAUCAAAUGGCAAUGGAUCAAAUGUUGUAGUUAUACCGUAAUCAUAUAAUACCUGUAGCAUUGGAUUAGAGAAUGAGUUAUUAAAAAGUAUAUGGUAUAUAAAUAAUUUUAAAAACUUGGAACUUGUAAAGGUAACCUGUGGUGAAGCAACUACUUUUGAUUCUUCUAUAUAACUGCAAAGUUGCACUUUAACAUAUCCAUAGGAUUCCAAACUAGGCAAGUGUUUAGUUAGGUCCAUCGUGAUAUUUCUUGUGGAAACUUCAUCUCCUAAAAUAUGUACAAUAAUGUGUUAUUUAUCAAUUUUGGUGAUCAUCAACAUUAUAUGCUUAUUAGAAAGUAAGAGUAUUGACUUGAAUGGAGUGAUAAUUAAAGCUUUUAUCAGACACUCAUUUGACACGAAUUCAAAUCGCGACCCAUCCUCUAUCCUCAAUAUUGUAUGAAAAAAAGAUAUCAAAGUAAUAAUGUUAUUAUCACUAAAAUGUAUUAUAAGACUUGUAAGAAAUAAUCAAUUAUACACAUUAUAUCUUUAUUUUUCAUUAUUAUAUAAAAUAUAAACUUUAAAACUAUUAAAUAUGUUAAUCAAAACACCACUUUUAUAAUUUUAUCCAUUAUUUUAGUUUCCACUUCUAUUAGAACUAUUGGAUUAAUCAAUUAUCAAACAAUUAACUUAUUUGCAUUAGACCCCAAUUGCUGCAUAACUUUAUAAUUAUCACUUUAUAAUUUAGCUAAAUUUCUCUCAUAAUCUAUUAAAUUGUCACAUUUCUUGAUAAUUAUUUUAUUGUAUUAGAAAGUCUUUUAGAGAAACAUUCAUCAUUUCUUGAACAUUUGUUAUUCACGUAUAAAAUGAAACAAUAAAAUAAAUAUAGUAGGAUGUAUUUACUAAAAUAUAAUUAUUUGAACUCUACUCAUACCUGUAGAUAAGUGCGAAAAGCCAUAUUCAUAUCCAAUGUUGUGUUCUGAUUCAUAAGUAACGCCAAAUUUUCUUAUGCUGAGAUGAAUAGGCACUACCAUGCAACUCACAAGGUCACCACCUUCAAACUGACAGUCCGUUACUGGCCAAUGAAUCAACCACAACAUUGUGUUAUCGUUAGUCUCAGGAAUUCCAAUGAAACUUGAGCGAUAUCUCUGCAUGAUCCUUUUGGUCUCAUUGAAAAUGUGAACACUUGGUAGAAGCUCCAACAUUUGAUCACUAGCUAAAGAGAAAACAAUGCAUAAGCUGAACCGAUGGAUCUUUUCAUCUGGAUUAGAUGGUGUUGGCAAAAAAAAAGAGAUUCGAUGCUCGUUAGUGCCAUGCUUAAACCCAAUCGGAACUUCACUUCCUACAACAAAUGUGCUUGUUAUACCAUAUUCUUGCAAGACCUGAUCCAAAAAGAACAAGUUAGAUGAUUAAGUAGUAUAAGAGAAAAAAUAGAUUUAAAAUUUAAGUUGGAGAACUAUUGGACCUGUGGGGUAGCUAGCAUUAUGCUGUCUGUUAGGUAGCUAUAAAGUUGCAGUCGAUUUCUGUUAAUGGAAUCUACGUUGAAUAAUCUUCUAAUCUCUUCUGCUUCAAAGUUUUCAAUUGGUUCCAACUUGAAUAGAUCUUCAACCUCAGUCAAUUUUUCACAUCCAAAAAUAUCACAUCGUGUGGAAGAAAAGUAGCAUGGAAGAAUUACCCUAUAUCCUUGAAAUGAAGAAUUGUCUCCAAAAAUAAAGUUGCACUCAAAAACAUUGAGCAAGACCGGAAGCUUUGGAAUCAUUUGGAGUUCAGUGCAAGAAGUCAAUAGAAGUUCUUCAAGUUUUGUAAGGUUUUUUAAGCUCUCGGGUAAGUAAUGAAUUGGGUUUCUACUUAAAUUUAAGGAUUUCAAGGAAGCCAAGUUACAAAGAUCAUUGGGCAUGACAUCAUUAGAUAAUUUGCAACUUUCAAGGCUUAACUUUACCAAAGAGCCCGGUAGAGAUGCCCAAGAGAAACCCAAUCCUUUGCUUCUUUUCAGUAAGAGCCAAUACAACCCCAAUCUUGAUUGAUAUAUGGCAGUUUCAUCUAAAUUAAGCACCUUCAAUGAUUCCAUAUUAUGCAACUCCCUAGGAACAUCAUCAAGUCUUGAACAACCAGAUAAGAAAAGAUCUUCAAGUGAUAUUAAUGAACCAAUUGUCCUUGGAAGAUGCCUAAGACUAGUGCAAUCUUUAAGGUUCAAGAAAGUAAGCAUCUUUAGCUCACCAAUGGAUUGAUCAACUUCCACCAAAUUUAUGCAAUCUUUUAGCAUCAACUUCUCAAGGCUAGGGAGUCCUGAAAAGGUUGGGGUUUUAAGAAGACUAUGUGAAUGGUUGAGAUUAAGGAUCUUUAAAUUUGGGAGACACUGCAAAAAAAGAAAAACCCUUCUUUUAUAAAUGUAUUAUUGUUUCACACACACUCAAAGAAGAAGGAAAAGUAGUAUAUAUCAUACCUGUCUAUUCUUCCAAACUUGUUUAAGUUUACUGUUGCGCAUGUCGAGAACAACUAGUUCAUUGAUAUCAAAAUCCACCGGAAAAGAUUGCAUACAAAACCCAUGCCAACGUAACCAUCUUAAUCUUUUGGGAAAGUCUUUGAAGUCUCCUUUAAAUUUUACAUUAUCCAGUUGAAGCAGUUUAAGUCUCUUCAUCUUCGCAAAUGCUUGAGUUUCCAUAUCAACAUCAUUUGACAUGAGAAACUGACUUUUGGAAUGCUUUGGAAAAUGUAGAGUUG
RNAcentral lists this long non-coding RNA (60662 nucleotides) under Gossypium barbadense (sea-island cotton). RNAcentral describes it as "long non-coding RNA (GBAR_LNC015188)". The stretch from base 20701 to 20849 matches the Rfam family "MIR8643 microRNA precursor family". The record is from RNAcentral. Lineage: Eukaryota; Viridiplantae; Streptophyta; Magnoliopsida; Malvales; Malvaceae.